Molecule: long non-coding RNA, 53054 nt
Filed under: Setaria italica (foxtail millet)
Lineage: Eukaryota; Viridiplantae; Streptophyta; Magnoliopsida; Poales; Poaceae
Description: long non-coding RNA (SITA_LNC006541)
Source: RNAcentral
GAUGUCAAUAGAACUCUUAGCACUGCAAAGCUUCGGCACCUAUCUAUCUCAAACAAGGCAGUAGGGCAUGACACUUUGCAAACACAAGCCUUGCUUAGAACAUUAAUGUUAUUCGGAAGCAGCACCACUGUUGAGUUGAAGGAUAUGUUGAACAACCUUUCUUGCCUAAGAGUACUACGUCUGAUAGAAGUAGAUCUAGUUGAGCUGCCAGACUCCAUAUGCCACCUCAAACAUUUAAGAUCCUUGUGUCUUUCUGGCACAAGCAUAUCCACAAUUCCUCAAGGCAUAGGAGAUCUAAAAUUUCUACAAUCUAUUGACCUUGAUGGGUGUGCAAAUAUUCAUCAACUUCCUAACAGCAUCCUAAAGCUGCGGAAGCUAAGGUCACUCAACUUGAGCGACACGGCAAUCACUUCAAUUCCUCGUGGCUUGGGAAAACUAGAAGAUUUGUUCCACAUAAGCGGGUUUCCAACACAUUAUUCAGAUGAGAGCACAGGUGGCUGGUGCAGCUUAGAAGAACUCAGACCUCUGUCGAAGCUCCAACGCCUUAAAAUAAGUUGUCUGGAGAAGGCACCUUCCGGUUCUAUGGCUGCUAAAGCAAACCUUAGCAGUAAACAUCACCUGAAAUGGUUAUAUUUGGAAUUUACCAGCAGGCUAGGAGACAACGGGGAGGUCGAAGGCAACAUUAGCGAGGAGGAACACAGGAGAACAGAGGAGGUGCUGGAUAAUUUGUGUCCUCCAACUUGCAUGGAAGAACUUGAUAUCACAGGCUACUUUGCACGUGGGCUACCGCAGUGGAUGAGAACCAUGUCAGCCUUUGGGAGCUUAAGGCGGUUGCAGCUAGAUGACUACGCAUGCUGCACGCAUCUACCUAAUGGAUUGGGGCAGCUCCCCUUUCUUGAUUAUUUUUGGGUCGAUCGUGCUCCGUCUGUCCAGUGCGUUGGGCACGAUUUCCUCUUCCCCUCCUUGGGUGGUCAAGCCGAUGGCAAAGUAACACGGAACAAUAAGAGGCAGCCUCAUCAUACUUCGCGUGGUGCUGGUGUUGCUUUUCCCAAGCUGAUAACAUUGGGUUUUGUAGGCAUGCUGGGAUGGAUAGAGUGGGAGUGGGAGCAGCACGUCCUAGCGAUGCCUGCACUAGAGGAGCUUACAAUCAGAAACUGCAAACUGCAACGCCUUCCUGCAGGGCUUGCACAACAUGCAUGCCGGUUGAGACAGUUGAGCCUGACAGAUGUCCAGCACUUGGUCUCUGUGGAUAACUUCCCUUCACUAGUCAAGCUUCGGUCAUAUGACAACCCAAGGCUGGAGAGGAUCAGCAACAACCCAAGCUUGCAAUUGAUUGACAUUAGCUAUUGCCGAGCACUAAAGGAAUUGGAUCGUUUGCCAUCCCUUCGAAGCCUCCUGUGGUGGGAUUUGCGUGCUGAAGCACUCCCAAAAUACUUGCGAGAGGCAACGCUAAAGAAAUUGCGUGUAGAUUGUAGCCGAAGUUUGCUCAAACUGAUAGCACUACAAGAUGAAUCCUCCGAAUGGGGAAAGAUCCAGCAUGUCCAGCAACUAAAGGCGUAUGGACGCAAGAUAGAAGGAGAAGCGGAGGAAGCCGACCAAUCGCACGAAGAUGAGGAUGCCGAGUGGUACAUCUACUGUACCAAGGAGCCGUAUUCAUUCGACGCAUACCUGGGCAAGUCCACGGGUGAGUUCAUCUUCGACCUACUCGGUGGUUUUAUAACUGUAUGUGUGUGUACACUCAUGUAAAAAUGGAUUUCUAACUGUAUAUUCACCUGCGCACAGGAUGAAGAUGAAGCAGAAGUAGACGAGGUGAACGAAGAACAAAGUCCAGGAAUAGAACAUAGUAAGAAUGCAAGGAACAGAGGAAGCUCUCAGGCUGUUACGACAGGACGAGCAUUCGAAUCAAUCCACCAAAUACUAGGUAUGAAUUGCCCAAAUACUGAUGGUCUUGUAGUUGUACACGCCAAAUUGGCUGUGACUAUUCUAACUGGAAAGCAUUGUCGUGUUAACGCAGGAGAAAGAAACCCAAGAAGGAGAAGAACACAUCGCAAUUGGGUGGUGGCAAUGUGGCAUACUGUCCCUCAAAUUCGUAAGUUGUAUAUGUUUUUGUGCGAAAAAUAUAAUACAGCAGUAAGGCGCGAGCGUCUCUCUAACCAGUUGUUGUGACGCUCAGGAAGGGAGCGCCAGCACGGGCGGCCUUGGACUCGUUGGAGCGAAUACGCGUCGGGGACGAGCGAUGUGCUGAGAGCUGAAGCACUGAACGUGCGCACGCAGGGCAGCAGGGAAGGGAUUUGCACAUUUAGCUCCUAGGAUUUGCACUUUCUUGUUGCCGUAUUUGUAGGCAGGUCUGCACUCCAUCCCUUCUUUUUGGUUGGUCCGUGCUAGCUCGUCAGACUUUCUACAGUGUUUUUGAAUGUUCGAUAACAAAUGAGUGUAGGAAUUUGCAGACGUGCUCUAUGAUGCCGAGAUAACAAUUGCAUCCCCCCCUCAUGGAUCCUCUGGAAAGCUGAAGCUACUCUGCAAGACUGCAACGAUUCAUUUGCACUGCCAAACAAACGAGCAUGACAAAUCGUAGGUCUCCCCUGCUAGCAUGGCAUAGGAGCUGAUGGACCACCUCUGAAGCUACUAUAUACUAUAUUCAUGUCCAUUAUGGUGUGGACAUGGACUGAUGGACCACCUCUGAAGAUAUAUUUCACGUGGAGUUUAUUAAUGAAAGUGUCUUUUUUUUUACUACGUCGAUAUCCUAGAACGUAUUUAAAUUUAUAAUAAAUGUAAUCUGAUAUAUAUGUUUCAGACUUGUUUGGUCCAUCAGUCCAUGUCCACACCAUAAUUAAGCUAGGCGUGUCACACUUGUUUAGGUGUGAGUUUAGUUUACGCCACAACUAGAACGUGCUAAAACUUUCUAAACCCUAUGCACCGUGUUUCAUAGAACCAAAGUAGGAGUACUCCGUAUAUGACUAGUUACGAAACAGGACCUUCCUACUUUGGUUGCUAUAAUUUAUAAUUAGAAGACUAUCCCUUAAUUCUAAUAACUUGCCAUCCGAAUCAUCUCGAUCAGCGUGAUGAUUAUGAUCACGAGUUUACUCCCUCCAUCCAUAUGUGUUUGAUCGGCGUAUUUGUCACACGAAAAGAUCCAAGAUUUUUCUUGCGGUCGCACGCUGACUGAGAUCAUGCGUUUGGGUGAAAAUCGUUCAAAGACUGAGGACGAUGGGCAAUGAAGCGUUGAAUGAUUUGCGUGGGAGUGUUUCUUCUUCCUUAGUCUCCGUGAAGCUAACAAAUACGCUGCUCGAAUAGGAUGGAGGGAGCAUCUGCUUGCAUUUUCGGCGGAUCAUCAUCGGCGGCUUGUUUCGGCCCUUGGGUCCUGUGCUGAUUCGGUGGACCCCACAUGCAUAGAAUCCAAGCAAAAUCUCCUCCAGAUUUCUAGCUUAUGCAAAUAUCUUCCCCGUUAUUAGCCAUUUUCAGUCAGUUAUUAUAUAUAUACGUAUAGAAAAAGAUCUACGUGGAUUAACUUGUACGGCAACAGGCUGAGAAGGAAUAUCUGUAUUGCAUGAUCAGUCAAUCAUUGGCCUAGCUAAACCGCUGAUCGAAAUGUUAUUUACUUUAUUUAUGCCGAUGAAAUUUUUUUAAUGUUAGGGUCUUUUACUAAGGAAAAAAAAUCUGGUUGAGGAAUAGAUUUUUUUUAAUGCUAGGGUCUUUCUCUUCAUCAGGUCGCUACUUCCCGGACAGGGCUAUCGAUUUGGUCGACGAGGCGUGCGCGGCCGUGAGGCUGCAAAAGAACGGCGAAAGAGGCAACAAGGAAGCAACAGCAGGAUGCCCAUGGACAACGACAACGUCGUCGCACCGGACCUCAUAGCGCAGGUGCUGGCAAUGUUGGGCGAUUCAGCAUUCUCAAUUGCUUCGAUCAUCACACAUGUAUAAAUAGAACGUGAUGUUCCGAAUGUAUGCUGUGCAUAUCGUGAGCAAAUGGACGGGUAUCCGGUGACGGCCCUGGGGCGGGAUGAUCGGAAGAGGCUGCUCGACCUAACGCGGUGCUGCGCUCGCGGUCGGGCCUCGCCAACCCCGACCAGCCGUCCGGCUCCUUCCUCUUCCUCGGCCCACGAGCGUCGGCAAGACCGAUCUCGCCAAGGCCCUCGCCGAGGAGCUCUUCAGCAACGAGAAGGCGCUCGUCCGCAUCGACAUGUCCGAGCACGUCGGCGCAAGCUCCGUCACGAGCCUCAUCGGCUCGCCUCCAGGGAAUAUAUGUUUACAAAUAUCUCAUGACAUGCUCCAGUACUUGCACGUAAGAGCAACUCUAAAAAGUUCCCUUAUAUUACCCCCAAAAUCUGAUUUAGGAGAAAAAUGAAAAAAACAAGGUCCAACACUCCCAUAUUUUCUCCGCAAAGAUACAACAACGCGAAAAACUCCCCGAUCACCUUGUGUGUAUCCGCCUCGCCAUUCCUCCCCCAAUCAGCCACAGGUCUUCCUUUCCCGCCCGCAGAGCCAGUCCCGCCAAAUUUUUUCCCCACGAACGUGAGGCAAGCGUCGGAGGCGCGAGCGGCGUUGCGGCGGCGGCGUGAGCAGGCUUUCGCGGCGGCGCGAACGGGCCUGCAAUGCAUCGACCACGUUCAUAUGCUCGGUCCGGCAGGGGCAAGAACAGUGCGGCGGCAACAAGGUGCGGCAGGUCCCGUUUGUCGGCGGCCACCUACACCAUUGGCCCGUCGAGGACCGAAAUUUGCACGGGUCCAUUGGUGGCCGAACUUGGCCAGACCGGCGGCGGCAACUUGGGAAGUGAUCUGCAAGGUCGAGGACCAACUUGGGAAGUGAUCUACAUGGUCGAGGACCGGCGGUGGCAUCAGUAUUUGGUCUUACCUUUUUCUGAAUCCAGGGAUACUUUGCAUAGUUUCUGAAUCAAUUCCUGAUGAAAAAUUUGCCCAACAUGAUGAUUUGUCAGUUGUUGGAGUCGUUUGCCUUUUGGGAAUCAAACAUACAUCAGCUUCCAAUCGUGGGUCUCCAGCCAUGCUCGAGAUUAUUAGGGUAAGUACGUUGGUAUCGUCUAAUAGGUGGUCUCAGGUAUUGACACGUAAUCUUAAGAUGACUUAACAGACACAACCCGUACAAUGGAUUGUCUUAUAAGUUAUCUGGUAGAACUAUAUAAUUUCUUAAUUUGUGCAUAUGAAAAAAGGAAAUAUUAUGAGUUGCAUGGCAACAAUAACUCGUACAAUGGUCCUCUUUCUCUCUCCUUACUCUCUCUCUCUUUCACAUCAUCAAAAAUCCUACGUGGCACUGUAUGAGACGACCUAUGAGACCGUUGACGUGUAACAAUAUACUUGCUGAUUGGACAAUUAUCUUUCUAUUGAUACAUAUUAACCCCUUAAUGGUUUGCAUCGUUUCUAAAUCCAUGCAUUCCUGUAGAAAAAUGAGCGCAACAUGGUGUGCAACUGAUUUGUCAAUUGUUGUGCUGUGAUUUUCCUGAUGGGAUUAUUGGAAUUGUUGAACCCAACGGCAGGUUUGACGGGCGGAGGCGGCAGCAAACUACUGUGCGGCACAAUGAGGGGCGAUGGGAGGAAGGACUGGCGGCAGCGUUGGAGGGUGGUAGGAGAAAAACGUUAGGAGAGAGGGAGUUCAGGUGAGGAGGAGAGAGGUUGGCCCAACUGAUGGGCCCAUUAAUACUGAUGUGGUCUAUUUCGAAAUAUUGGUAAGCUAGAGUUUCCAAAAAGUUUUUCCCCAAAACUAUGUAUUGAGGGGCUCUUUCAAAAAAAAAUUCCUCUAAAAACAUAUCAAUCCAUAUCAGAUCGCUAAUAACUAUCCAAAUAUUUCAAAAUAGGCCAACCUUCUUUGACUUUUGCUCACAUUCACCGAAUCCGGACCGACUAACCGUAAUAUACAGUUAAAUUUCAAAAAAUGUUUCAAGCCAAAAGAAAAGCCGGAUCUUUUCGUGUUCAUCUCACUCACAGGUUCUUGAUUUCCUCCCAACGUUUACUGCAGGUACUACUACAGACGCACCUACAAGGACAACAUGAACUGCCCGGCAACGAACCAGGUACAACAGAAGGACCACAGCGACCCGCCAUUGUACGCAGUCACCUACUACAACGAGCACUCGUGCAACAGCACCUUCCUCACGCUCUCCCCCUCUGAGUUCCAGCUCCAGACCUCCUCGGGAAAGGUCGUCUCCAUCUGCUUCAACUCGUCAUCCGGGCCGGCGGCGCAACAACCGCUGUCCGCGGCGGCGGCAACAGCCACCAAUGCCAGCGGCGGCUCGCCCUCCUCCAGCGCUGCGACGCGACGAGGCACGCCCUCGAGAUCAGCAACCCACCCAUGCUACGGCGCGACGAGGCACGCCCCCAAGAUCAGCAACCCACCCAUGCUACGGCGCUCGGAGACGUACCCAUGGGUCGUGGGUGCCGUGGAGCAGAAGCCGGCGUCCUGCAGCACCAAGUCCCACGUCGCGUUCCCGGCUAGUGCCAGCGCGGUGCCGGAGGAGGUGGUAGAUGCAGGCAGAUUUGGGUCCAUCAGGUACGCAUGCCAGGUGAUUGGGAAAUGAUCGGACCUCCGCAUAUUUGCGGGGCGACGGAGGUGUUUUUAGCGUCCGCGCAUUUUCAUAGAAUGGAUUAAGGAGUUGUUGGAGGUAAGUUUUGUUUGUUUUUCCCUAAAUAAGAUUUUGGGGUAAGUGAGCUUUUGGAGUUGCUCUGAGAUGGUAUGAUUUUGGGGGGAAAAUAUUUUAUAAAAAACCCUAAUAUUUGUUUUUGGGGAGAAAUUUUAGAGAUUACUCUAAUCCCUUAUAAUUAAUGAUUCCGUAACUGCGUGCAGGGCGCCUGGGUACGAGAAUGGAGGGCAGCUCACGGAGCAGGAGAUGCGGCGGCCGUACAGCGUGGUGCUGUUCGACGAGAUGGAGAGAAGGGGGACGACGCCUUGUUCAACCUGUUCCUGCAGAUCCUCGACGACGGCAGGCUCACCGACGCCAAGGGCCGCGCCGUCGACUUCACCAACACCAUCAUCAUCAUGACCUCCAACCUCGGGGCGCACCACCUCGACGGCUACCCGGACAACGACGCCGCUCGCGAGCGCAUCCUCGCCGACGUGAGGAGGCACUUCCGGCCGGAGCUCGUGAACCGGCUUGACGAGAUGGUGGUGUUCCAGCCCCUGUCGUCGUCGUCCGCCGGCGACCAGCUGCUGCGGAAGGUGGCUAGGCUGCAGCUCAAGGGCGUCGCCUUGCGCCUCGCCGGCAAGGGCAUCGACCUCGACGUCACCGACGCCGCCCUCGACGUAAUGCUGUCGGAGACACGCGGCGAGGUGAAGAUGUACGGCGCUAGGCCGAUCAGACGGUUCGUGCAGAAGGUCGUCGUGACAAGGAUUUCCAAUAUGGUGGUGCGGGAGGAGGUGCACGAGGACUGCUGCAUCUCCAUCGACGCAGACGAGGAGGUGAAGGAACUGGUGUUCACCGUCACCAAGAAGCCGGCGGACCAAAAGAAGUAGCUGAUGUGCGUAGUCGUCGAGAACCCUGUCGACGAGGUGAAGAAUCCGGUGAUCACGGCCGAGAAGACUGCAGACGAGAAAAGGGAGGAGCCGGUGUUCACUACCGAGAAGCCUGGAGAUGAGAAAAAGCAGGAUCCGGUGUUCACCGUCGAGAAGCCUGCAGACGAGAACAUGGGGCCAGUGUUGAUCGUCGAGAAGCCUGCAGAUGAGAACAGGGAGGAACCGGUAGUCAUCAUCGAUCAGAAGCCUGAAAGUGAGAACAGGAAGGUCACCUUUGAAAAGUCUGUAGACAAUGGCAAGAAGCAUCCGGUAGUCACCAUCGAGAAUUCUGCAAACGAGGACAUGGAGCCGGUGUUCUCCGUCGAGAAGCCGGCGGACGAGGAGGAGGAGCCGGUGUUCACUGCCGAGAAGCCUGCAGAAGAGGAGGAGCCGGUGUUCACCACCGAGAACCUCGCAGACCAGGAGAAGAUGGAAGCUGGGGUUUACCGUCCUGAAGCCGAACUCGGACGAAAACAAAAGCAUCGUAUGCCUUCUCUGAUGUAAACAACACAGAAUGACAGGCACAAAGAUUGACAAGAAUGGUAGAUGGUGCUUAGUUUCCCUUCUUUCUUCUUGUUUUUUUUUUUUUGAGGGCGUAGAUCGUAGUUUCCAAAGGAUACCGCUAUUAUAUACAAAUGUGUCUUUCAGCACGCACAUACAUACGUUCACAUUUUACCAAAACUUUGUCUAUUCAAAUUUCAAAAUACCCAUUAGCUUGUACUUCCUCCGUCCCAAAUUGUAAUUGUAAGUCAUUCCAAGAAUCUUGGAGAGUCAAAGCAUCUCAAGUUUGACUAAAAUUAUAGAGAAAAAUAUAAAGAUUUAUGACAUCAAAUAGAUAUACUAUGAAAAUAUAAUUGAUAAAGAAUCUAAUGAUACUUAGUUAACAUCAUAAAUGUUAUUAUAUUAUCAUAUAAAUUUGGUCAAACUUGAGAUAUUUUGUCUCUCCAAGAUUUUUGAAAUGACUUACAAUUUGGAAAACGGAGGGAGUAUCUAACAUCUCAAGGACCCAACAUUUUGGUUUAAGGCUCUGCACUGCUAUUAUAUAGCAUUGAUAUUACCAGGAUGAUCAGUGCUAGGAUCCUCCUGAAUUAUCAGACAACGAUGACUGAAAAAUGCAUGAAUGAUCGUUGGAGGCCGAGAGCUAGAAGAUCAAUUCUCCAGCACAGCGAGCCCAUCUGAAAUUCGGCCCGAUCUAUAAUGCAUCCUUUCACACCACAACAAACGGACUGCCUAUUACCCAGUUUCAGCCCACAAAUUGUAUGUCCCACAAACAAGGCCGUCUAGAAUACACGGAUACUUCCAGCAGCAGCCUUGGACAGUAUUGUAAUGAACCCGUCGAUUCAGAGCUUUUUAAGUUAAUCGUGAUUGUGAUGCGCGAGGCAGGAUAGAAUAAGGCUCUGCUGUAUGAAAGCAAGACUGUAGACAGGUCAUCCCCUCGGGCCUGAAUUUUCAUUAGUCCCCAGUUGAUCCGAUCCGAUGGCCAUCCCGUGCACGUUAUACAAUGGGCUCUCGGGCUCUAUUCUAUUGCGCUGCUGAUACAUGAGAUCUUCUGCUAUGGCCUUGUCCGUAGGCUACACAACGGCAUCACUCGAUCGAUUGAUUUGCUAACAAUUUAUAUGCGAGCUGGCUUGCUUGCAUCCUCCCUUUGAUUUGCUUUCGGGGAAAAAGCAUCAGUUACUAGCAGAACAAUAUAGAAUAAAAAACAUCAGCAUCCUGAACCAGCGAUAUGCCUGUAGUUCGCUUUUAUUUCCCAGGAGGGGCAAGGCCUGAUGGCCACUUGUUUUUAGAUGAUGCAUCUGCAGAUUUGCUCUGCUAAAGAGAUCGAUCUGGGGCUGGGUCAAAUAAUCAUGGAGUUUUGCUGAAAUUUGUGAGUUUUGCUGCUGAGAUUGCUUUUGGGAGAUUGAUAUGGCUUUUGAUUCACUUUGGGGAGAGUGAAUUUCUGUCUUGAUUGUGUCGAGCCUAGCUUUUUCGCUAGCCCAUGUCUUUGGGGAUUAAGAUCGUUUCUUUUUCUUUCUUUUUAUUUUUUCUUUUUCAGUACGAAUAAAUUUGUGCGGUGUGGUGUUGUCAAUGCACUCAUCAAGGGGGAGAUUGAGAUGCCGGUGGGCUAGCACCUUGGUGAUGAGCGAUUGACAACACGGUGUGCGUGUGACGUGUCUCUUGGCAGGUUGUGGUUGCAGGUGACAGGUGGAGACAAGGUACAUGCGGCGACGAGUGAAGAACGAAGAUAGGAUGCCGCGUCGAAAAACCGCGGGGGCGGAGAAGGGCGGAUCGAGGCUUGCGUUCGAGGGACAGGCGAUCGUGCGGUGUACGUCUACUGUACCUGGCUACACGGCGGGAGGACGUCGAUGGAGGUUUCCGGAUUAUGCCACAAAAUCCGGGGUUCGCUGGUUGAGCCACAAAGCCAUGCAUCGUACCGGGACGCUCGUGCGGCGUGCGAAGAUGGAAAUUCUGGCGAUCGCGAUACGAUUUCGGAUGGUUGUGCGGCGACAUCGCGAGGAUCACAUCGCGGAGAUGGAGGGAUCGCGGACAUCGCGGAAUUUGCCAUGGAGGACGUAAUUGGAAUUUACGCCCCUACGUUGGAUUUAUUUAGCGUAGGGGGUUAUGUGAAAAUAGGUCGUGCCACCCUUUGGAGAUAUAAAUAUGUGGCACCUAGGGUUGAGGGAAAAGUGGACGUUUUGGACUCCCGGCGAGUUACUAUUCACGCGUGAACAGUACCCGUGAACAGUACUCGUGCCCUGGGGUUCCACGGUUCAAUUUUCCUCUCUCCGGUCUAGCCUAGGGUUUGAAUUCUAGUGAGAGGUUUUUGUUGAUCUCUCCGAUUAAGAGAGGGAGGAUGUUCGGGCGGAGGCUAGAUGCACUUUUGUAAGUUCAAUUACUCGAUUUAAUCUUUCAUCUAUAAUGAUUGAUCUUGUGCAUCUCGAUUGGUUCUUUACAAUUCUCGUCAGCAUCUGACAUAGUCUGCUUGUUUUAUUUUUAUCUCAAGAUCCGUAAGUCCGAUUGACGUGAUUCCAGUUGGGUUAGUUUCGUAAUUUCAUCUAGUUUAAUCUGACAAAUUUUUAGGUCGAUCGGAGUUACGGAUUUUCGUCCACAUCAGGUUUACUAGGUACAUAGAGUUCUGUCCAGAUUUGAAAAACGUGAUUUAUUCAGGUUUUGUGUUUAGGGGAAGGGUUAGAAAUAUUUGUUAGAAAGUUUUGGCUUCUGCGACCAUUCACCCCCCCUCUGGUCGCCCGUUACGAUCCUUCAAUUGGUACCAGAGCCGGUUUAGGUUUUCUAUAGCUUAAUCGGUGCUGAAAGCUAUGGCGACCAAUGAAAAGUUUGAUGUUCGCGCUCCGUUUUUUGAUGGGACUGAUUAUGAUUACUGGAAGGCACGUAUGACCAACUAUCUCAAAGGCAAGUCGCUGAAGCUAUGGAAAAUCACACAAAAUGCCACAUAUGUGAUUCCAGCUGAGGAACCGACUGACGCCGCUGAGAUCGGGCUUCUUGAAACAAAUCAUCGUGCUGUUGCUAUUUUACAGGCUUCUAUUUGUAAAACUGAAUAUGAUCGGGUUUCUAGUGAAGAUCUCGCUUAUCAGAUCUGGGAGAAACUUAGAAAAUAUCAUGAAGGCUCAAACACUGUGAAAAACCGAAAAUUUGAGAUUCACCGAAAAGAGUUUGAUGCUUUUUGCCAAUUGCCUAGUGAGUCUAUUGAUGACAUGUUUGCACGUUUUCAAGUGAUUGUUAAUAAGAUGAAGGCCAUGAAUAGAAAUAUACCUUAUGAUGAUCAUGCUAGGGCUCUCAGAUUAUUACAUUCACUUAAUGAUGAAUGGGAUAUGAAAGUUGAGGCGAUCGUUGAAUCUGUAGGUUAUGAAACUCUCACCACUGAUGAGCUUUACAGUAAGCUCAAAUCAAAAGAGAUUGAAAUUGUUUCUAAGCGUAAAUUGAAAAAUCCCACAGCUGCUUCUUCUUCUGACGUUCCAAUGGCUUUGGUUUCUGGAAAUAAGACUAACACUAAUGCUAAUCCAAAUGUUUCCAGUUUUGCUUUGUCUUCUUUGUGUCAUGUUGCAGAUGAGGAGUUGGAGGUGCUAGAUGAUGAUCAGCUUGUACUGCUCUCCAACAAGUUUAAGCGUGUGUAUGACAACAGGCGUAAUAGAAGACGUUCAGAUGGUUGCUUCAACUGUGGUGAGCGAGGACACUUUGCUGCUGAUUGCCCAAACAAGCAGAGAUCUUUUGAGCAGGGCAAUAACUCCUCCAGGCGCCAGGAGAAGUUCAGGGAGAGGAAGAAGAAGAAGGAUAAGCAAUGGAAGAAAGGCGGACAAAAAUACUCUGACAAGCAAGUCGCUAAGGCUGCAAAUGUUUUGUUAUCUUCUCUUGGACAGUAUGUUUCAGGUGGCUCGUCAGACUCCAGCGAUUCAGAUUCCGAGGAUGAGACACCCAAGAAGAAGACAGACGGACUUUGCUUCAUCACUGACGCCGGCAUCAAUGAUGGGAUAUGUACUAUGGCCUUGGAGGGUGAUGCAUCAACCGACAGCAACGAUGAAACUUCUGAUGAUGAGGUAGAUACUUCUGCAGAACAAAGAAUAGCUAAUUUAACUAAAAUUGUUCAUAAGCAAAAUAAAGUGUUGGCUAAACUUAAAACUGAUUAUGAUAAAACUUGUGCUGAACUAGCUACUCUCAAAAAUGCUGCAUCUAAUCCUGCUGAACCUGAUGAAUGUGAAGAAUGCUCAAUUCAUAUGAUUUCGUUGUCUAAAUUGCAAACCAAGUAUUCUUCCAUUGUUGAUGAUCGAGAUAAACUUUACGCUGAACUAAAUGAACUUCGUUCUCGGUCGAAUUUGCUUGGUACUUGUGUUUCUUGCCCGCUUUUGAAAGUUGACUUGGAUAAUGCUUUAUGUCGGGUAAAAAAUUUUGAAGAACACACUUGUCCUGAUUUGCCGGAUUGUUUGAUUUGUCCAACUUUACGAUCUGAAUUAAAUGUUGCUAAAUCACAUAUUGUUGAGUUGGAAAAACACACUUGUCCGGUUCUUCCUUCAUGCCUAACUUGUCCUAAUUUUGUUGUUGAAAAUAAUGAUUUAAGGGCCAAACUUGCUGAUUUGGAAGAAGAAAAUAAGCAUUUGAGAACUAUUCUUGGUUGGUGUUCUAUUCGUGAGCCUCAAAUUGGUAUGGCUAUUGCUCAAAUUAAACGGGGUGAGCGUUUUGGUCCCGGUUAUGACUUGAAACAUGUUUUUGGUGAAAAAAGUGGACCGCCUGUUGAUGAGAAGAAUCCACCUUUGGCUAAAUAUACUGGACCACCUCCUAGGAAGGGUUCAGGUGUCACCUCUGAUGGGUUGCUGGUUGAGACAUCUAGAUCUGCUCCUAAAAAGCAGGUUUGGGCGCCUAAGCCAAAACACUUCAAGGGUAUACAAAAUACUAAGCCAAAUGGUUCUUCUUGUGAUCAUUUUGCUAAGCCUGUUUUUGUUGCUUCUAGUUCUAAUGCUGAGGCUUCUGUCGCUCCUGCACGCAAGCUUUAUCAUUGUGAUUUUUGCAGUCAUGAUGGUCAUCUUUAUGAGUUCUGUUAUCGGAGGAUGCGUGCUGAACGACGUGAGCACCCCACACGUGGUACUCAUGAUCUUCGUGUUUUUAGAUGUGAGCAGUACCCUGUACGUGGUACUCAUGAUUGUCCUAUUUUGAGACGUGAGCCAUUUGUUCGCUCUUCUGGUUUUCGCUCACGUACUCGUGCUCUUGCACAACAUCGGGAUGACAGACCACGUUUUCCCCCUCGUGGUUCUCAUCGUUUUCAUUACAUUAUCCUAACCCCAGUGUUGAGUCAUUAGCUCACCCUCGCUCUCGUUGUUGAUUGCAGGUUGGAGGCGAGGAGGACAUAUGGAUAAUGGACUCCGGUUGUUCGCGCCACAUGACCGGAGAUGAUAAAUGGUUCUCCAGCCUCACCCCCACGAGCGUAAAGGAAAACAUCACUUUUGGGGAUAAAAGUCAAGGUAAGGUAAUGGCGCAUGGCUGCAUCAAGGUAACAGAUAAAUACACGUUAAAGGAUGUCGCAUUGGUAAAGAAUUUGCAUUAUAAUUUGCUGUCUGUUUCGCAACUUCUUGAGGAUGAUUUUGAGGUUCGUUUUAAGAAAGGAAAUUCGCGUGUUCUUGAUUCUGCUGGUAACCUUGUUUGCAAGAUUUCUCCUUUUAGACGGAUUUUUAAAGCUGAUUUUUCUAAAUCUUUUGGUGAAACUCGCUGUUUAGUUGCUCAUGGUUCCCCCCUGAUUUGGAAGUGGCAUCGUCGGUUGGGCCACUUGAGCUUUGAUUUGCUUUGUCGUUUGAGUUCAUUGGAUUUAAUUGAUGGUUUACCGAAACUCAAGUUUGAAAAGGAUUUGAUUUGUGCUCCCUGCAAGCAUGGAAAAAUGGUUGCUGCUUCUCAUUCACCUGUGACUCAGGUGAUGACGAGACGACCAGGUGAACUGUUACAUAUGGACACUGUUGGUCCAGCCCGUGUUCGGUCUGCUGGUGGGAAGUGGUAUGUGCUCGUCGUUGUGGACGAUUUUUCUCGAUAUUCAUGGGUGUUCUUUUUGGAAUCUAAGGAUGAGGCUUUCUCACAUGUUCAUGAUCUUGUUCUAAAGCUGAAAAAUGAGUUGUCAAAUAAUGCCGUUAGAGCAAUUCGCAGUGACAACGGUACGGAAUUCAAGAAUUCUCGCAUGAAAGCUUUCUGUUCAGAACAAGGUUUAGAUCAUCAGUUUUCCUCACCUUACGUUCCUCCCCAGAACGGUGUUGUUGAGCGUAAAAAUCGUACGCUUGUUGAGAUGGCUAGGACAAUGCUUGAUGAACAUAAAACUCCUAGACGUUUUUGGGCUGAGGCUAUCAACACCGCUUGCUAUGUUGCUAAUCGCAUUUUUCUGAGAGCUUUUCUAGGAAAAACAUCUUAUGAGUUGAGAUUUGGUCGACCUCCCAAAGUUUUCCACCUUCGAGUUUUUGGCUGCAAGUGUUUUAUAUUGAAAAAGGGAAAUUUGGAUAAAUUUGAAUCGCGUUCUUCCGAUGGGUUAUUUUUGGGGUAUGCCUUGCAAGGGCGAGCGUACCGUGUGCUUAAUCUUGAUACUAACCGCAUCGAUGAGACAUGUGAGGUCAGCUUCGACGAGACAAUGCCUUGUUUUUCUUCUGCUUUUGAGUGUGCAGGUGAUGACGAGAUCGGGCAGGAUAUUUUUGAGGAUGAGAAAGAGGACGAUGGAUGUGACGACGACGAUGACGAUGAUGCCCAGCCUGCGAUGCAGGGGGAGCCUGGCGCCCAGCCUGAGCAGGCGCCCUCCACCACUUUGGAGGAUGGACCAUCGCCGACACGUAUAUCUACAGCAGAGUCUGCAGCUUCACCGACUGUUGAUCAUGUACCGGCUGUAGUUGAGGGGGAGGCGAUUUCAGAACGUACAGCACCACGACACAUUCAGAAUCGUCAUCCUGCCAAGAACAUAAUAGGUAAUUUGGAUGAACGCACGACAAGGAACAGAGGUACGAAAAAUAAAAAUUAUUGUGUCUUUGCGCAUACUGCCUUUGUUGCCUCUUUUGAACCCCGAGAUGUUGGACAUGCUUUAUCUGAUUCUAACUGGGUCAAUGCCAUGCAUGAGGAGUUAGAAAAUUUUGCACGGAAUCAGGUUUGGGUUUUGGUUGAUCCUCCUCCUUCUUGUAAACCAAUUGGAACUAAAUGGAUCUUUAAGAACAAACAAGGGGAAGAUGGUCAUGUUGUUAGAAAUAAAGCUAGGUUGGUUGCUCAGGGCUUUUCUCAAAAAGAGGGUAUUGAUUAUGGUGAAACUUUUGCUCCUGUUGCUCGUUUAGAAGCCAUUCGUAUUUUGCUUGCAUUUGCUGCUUCACGUGGAUAUAAGCUUUAUCAAAUGGACGUGAAAAGUGUUUUUCUGAAUGGUUUUAUAGAAGAAGAAGUUUAUGUUAAACAACCGCCUGGUUUUGAACAUCCCAAUUUUCCUGAUCGUGUUUUUAAGUUGCAAAAGGCUUUAUAUGGUUUGAAGCAAGCACCUCGUGCUUGGUAUGCUAGAUUGAAAACUUUUCUGCUUAAAAACGGGUUCAAAAUGGGUUCAGUUGAUAAAACUCUUUUUCUCCUCAGGCAAGGCAAUGACACUUUAAUAGUUCAGAUUUAUGUGGAUGAUAUCAUUUUCGGUGGUUCCUCUCAUGCUCUUGUGAAAAAGUUUGCAGAUGUGAUGAGUAAAGAAUUUGAGAUGUCUAUGAUGGGCGAGCUGCAUUUCUUUCUUGGCUUACAAAUAAAACAAACUUCGGAAGGUACAUUUGUGCAUCAGGGAAAGUACACGAAGGAUGUCCUGAAGAAGUUUGCGAUGGAUGAUGCGAAGCCAAUUUCUACACCCAUGCCGACUAGCGCUACUUUGGAUGCUGAUGAGGACGGAGAGCCCGUGGAUCAGAAGGAAUAUCGAAGCAUGAUGGGGUCGCUGCUGUACUUGACUGCUACGAGGCCAGAUAUACACUUUGCUGUGUGUAUGUGUGCUCGUUUUCAGGCGUCCCCCAGGACUUCUCACCGUCAGGUGGUGAAGCGCAUAAUGAGGUAUCUUCGAUUUACUCCUGCAUUUGGCCUUUGGUACUCUGCUGCUUCAACUCUCAGUUUGUGUGGUUAUUCGGAUGCUGAUUUUGCUGGGUGUCGUUUGGAUAGAAAGUCUACAUCGGGUACUUGCCAAUUUUUGGGUUCUUCGCUUGUUUCUUGGUCCUCUAGAAAACAAUCUAAUGUUGCUCAAUCUACUACAGAGGCUGAGUAUGUUGCUGCUGCUAGUUGUUGUUCUCAACUUUUAUGGAUGAUAGCUACCCUUCGCGAUUUUGGUUUGUCGUUUUCUCGCGUUCCUCUCUUGUGUGACAGCACUAGCGCUAUAAGUGUUGCAAAGAAUCCUGUGCUUCACUCUAAGACAAAACACAUUGAGGUUCGUCAUCAUUUUCUGAGGGAUCAUGUUGAGAAGGGUGAUAUUAAGCUUAAAUACAUUGAUACUAGUCAGCAACUUGCUGAUAUUCUGACUAAACCACUCGAUCAAACCACGUUUGCACGUUUGCGUGGUGAGUUUGGGGUGUGUUACCCAUUCUAGUAUCAUUGUAAGUUGCUUCAGUUACAUAUGCCUUAUACUUAUUUUGGCUAGUUUGCGAUCGAUGCUUUUGGAGAGGUUUGAAUGCUUUGCUUGACCAAUUUUUAUUUUGAAAACAGCACAGAUAUAUACUUAAAAAAUUAUGUUGGGCUAUGCUUGCUUUUCUGAAUCUAGUGACUUGUUGAAUACUUGACAUAUAUCUUGCUCAUGGUUCGGUAGUCAGCUUCUUUUAAUGGGUUUUCACUGCAAAUGUAACUCACAAUCCAAGUUUUAACUCGGGAGUGCAUAGUAUGGUUGUGAGCAAAAACUCUGAAUUCCCAUAUCUCUGCUAUUUAGCUCAUGAUCUGCUUGCCUUACUGAGAAUUUAAAUAUGGGCGCAACUCUGUUUUUCCCAUGUCCCUGCUGGUUCUCGCUCAUAAAAAAAAUUAAACAAAUUGGCUGGGCACAACUCUUGCUUCCCAUAUCCCUGCUUAUCAUGCUCACAAAAGUCAGACUUAAAUAUGACAAGUGAAUGCAUUUGUGGGCGUUGCAGUGAACUUUGACUGAAGCUGUGUAUCUGUCGUGUGAGCUCGCUAUAUGUUUUGUCUUCAGCUUUGCACUGAGUUUGGAAUGUGCAUGUUUUUGCCUGGCACAUUAGUUUUCAAACAGAUUUCAGUUCUAAAUUUUUAUUGGUCAUGGCAUUGUAUUGUUCCUUCUCUGGAUAGCUAGUGUUGUUGGUUAGCUUUUAUAAGUAUUUGGCAUAUGUCUCAGAAGCUUCAACUUGUGCUUUCUCACAUGCUUUUCUCUAAAUUGGUUCCUUGCAUUUUAUCUUGAUGGAGUGCUUUGUCAACAAGGGGGAGAGUGAGUAGCGCACAAAUUCAUUCUUGCAGGGGGAGUUCGUUCAUUCAGGGGGAGUUUUGCUGAAAUUUGUGAGUUUUGCUGCUGAGAUUGCUUUUGGGAGAUUGAUAUGGCUUUUGAUUCACUUUGGGGAGAGUGAAUUUCUGUCUUGAUUGUGUCGAGCCUAGCUUUUUCGCUAGCCCAUGUCUUUGGGGAUUAAGAUCGUUUCUUUUUCUUUCUUUUUAUUUUUUCUUUUUCAGUACGAAUAAAUUUGUGCGGUGUGGUGUUGUCAAUGCACUCAUCAAGGGGGAGAUUGAGAUGCCGGUGGGCUAGCACCUUGGUGAUGAGCGAUUGACAACACGGUGUGCGUGUGACGUGUCUCUUGGCAGGUUGUGGUUGCAGGUGACAGGUGGAGACAAGGUACAUGCGGCGACGAGUGAAGAACGAAGAUAGGAUGCCGCGUCGAAAAACCGCGGGGGCGGAGAAGGGCGGAUCGAGGCUUGCGUUCGAGGGACAGGCGAUCGUGCGGUGUACGUCUACUGUACCUGGCUACACGGCGGGAGGACGUCGAUGGAGGUUUCCGGAUUAUGCCACAAAAUCCGGGGUUCGCUGGUUGAGCCACAAAGCCAUGCAUCGUACCGGGACGCUCGUGCGGCGUGCGAAGAUGGAAAUUCUGGCGAUCGCGAUACGAUUUCGGAUGGUUGUGCGGCGACAUCGCGAGGAUCACAUCGCGGAGAUGGAGGGAUCGCGGACAUCGCGGAAUUUGCCAUGGAGGACGUAAUUGGAAUUUACGCCCCUACGUUGGAUUUAUUUAGCGUAGGGGGUUAUGUGAAAAUAGGUCGUGCCACCCUUUGGAGAUAUAAAUAUGUGGCACCUAGGGUUGAGGGAAAAGUGGACGUUUUGGACUCCCGGCGAGUUACUAUUCACGCGUGAACAGUACCCGUGAACAGUACUCGUGCCCUGGGGUUCCACGGUUCAAUUUUCCUCUCUCCGGUCUAGCCUAGGGUUUGAAUUCUAGUGAGAGGUUUUUGUUGAUCUCUCCGAUUAAGAGAGGGAGGAUGUUCGGGCGGAGGCUAGAUGCACUUUUGUAAGUUCAAUUACUCGAUUUAAUCUUUCAUCUAUAAUGAUUGAUCUUGUGCAUCUCGAUUGGUUCUUUACAAUUCUCGUCAGCAUCUGACAUAGUCUGCUUGUUUUAUUUUUAUCUCAAGAUCCGUAAGUCCGAUUGACGUGAUUCCAGUUGGGUUAGUUUCGUAAUUUCAUCUAGUUUAAUCUGACAAAUUUUUAGGUCGAUCGGAGUUACGGAUUUUCGUCCACAUCAGGUUUACUAGGUACAUAGAGUUCUGUCCAGAUUUGAAAAACGUGAUUUAUUCAGGUUUUGUGUUUAGGGGAAGGGUUAGAAAUAUUUGUUAGAAAGUUUUGGCUUCUGCGACCAUUCACCCCCCCUCUGGUCGCCCGUUACGAUCCUUCACAAAGGAAAAAGGAAAAGAUGUCACCCACUACAAUGAGUGCCAUCAUGGCGAUCAACUCUCGAAUCGCUAUCAGUACUGCUUUGAUUGUGCUAACUAAACCAAUUGAGGAACAAUAUCAUUAGUGGUACAGUCGGGAAAAGCGGGAUGAGAGCAUCCAUAUCGAUUGUGAGUUGGACACGGGUAAAUAAUUCAUGGACUCGCAGGUGUGCCACUAGUUAGAGGUUUGGUUGCCCCUUUUGUUUCUACAAAUGUGCGGUAAAAUUCCUUUCACUUGGUUUUCGAUCAAGCUUCCAUGUAUACUGCUCCCUCCAUCCUAAAUUAUAGAUCAUUUCAUGUUUUCUAGAUUCGUACCUUUCACUGUGCAUCCAGAUAUAAUAUAUAUCUAGGUGCAUAGCAAAAUCUAUGAAUCUACAAAAACCAAAAUGAUCUAUAAUUUAGGACGGGGAGGAAGUCCGAAAGAUUGAUGGCGUCCUUCGUAAAAAGUCCUGCCAUGUACCAUUUAUGUUCUACGAAUGGGCUAUAUGAAUCUUAUUAUUAUUAUUCCAAGAAUUUUAGCUGCAUGGUCAUUCAGAAGAUGGGCAUGAGUGCUCGUGCCUAACAAUAAAUAAACUUCGCUAAAACUCCAGAAUAUCAACUACAGUUGUAUACUUUAUAUGCAUGGUAUAAACUUACAGUAAUGAAGCAAAAAGUCCAUUUUCUGUUGAACAAACGACAAGAGGAUUGGUAAAAUGGUAAAAGUGUUGUGAAAGUGUUAAUUCUCCAGUAUGGAUGGUAAACUGGUAAAAAGUGGUAACAAGGAUGAAUCUCAGCUCACGGGGGAGUAGAUGACAUCAACAACUAACCUCCCUCGCGCUAGCUGCUGCGGCAACAAUGAAUUGCUUGCAGUCACUUGUCUGUACAGCAGGAUAGUGGCCACCAUUAUUUGUAGUCAUUCUGCCUAAGGAGACGACGCUAGCAGUGAGUGUGAGCAGGGCAGCAGCUUUAUGGCUCGUCUCGCCAUGGCCCCAAUAAUUGGUCCACUUGUAUUGAUUUCACUGCACAGGAUUCACAUGCUGGAGGCUGCGCCUUGUGCCGACACUUUUGUGUGAACUCAUAGGCCGACGACUCCAAGUCUCCGCUGCUUGCCACCCACUAAUGAAUGUCGACUUGGCGCUGGUUCCACGGAGAUGCUAAUACAUGUGAAGGAUAGGACAUAAGACCAAAGGAAAGAACAACUAACAAUAACAAGUGGGCAUGCUUACUCAGAGACUUAAAAGACUUAGCUGCACAUCAAGAACUAGUCGGCUAUACUAAUUGCAUCUGAAAAUGAUCUUAGGGUUCAUGUUUAGAUGUAUUGGCUUAACUGAUACCAAAUGUAGGAAACUACAUUACUUAGCUUAAUCUAAAUAGUAUCUUUCCUUUGGUCUCUUUAAUUUCUUUGCCUCAGGUCACUUUCUAGCUAAUGCUAAUGCACAAGUAGAUUUAUUUACUGGAAAAACGUGCUUAUGCAGAUCAAUAUUUACCUUCACCGGCUUCACCGUUUGCUGUUGGGAUCGUCUUGGAUUCCUCUGCUUCUCUGCCAUUCGGGCACCUAGGUAACAGAGGUCCUGUCUAGUUCCCCAAAAUUCCAACUUUAUCACUAUACAAAAAGAAGAUUCUCCAUCACAUCAAACUUGCGAUACAUGCAUGGAGUACUGAAUGUAGAUGAAAUUAAAAACUAAUUGCACAGUUUUGUUGUACUUUGCGAGACGAAUCUUUUGAGCCUAAUUAGUCAAUAUUUGGACAAUAAUUCAUAAAUACAAACGAAAUGCUACAGUUGCGCUAUAGUAAUUUUGGUUGUCCAAAGUUGGACAACUAAACAACACCGAGGUCUGAAACGCACUAAUCGUCCACUGUACACUGGUAGCGACCGUACACAGACUGAACCCCUGCUUCCUGUUGGAGAACCAUUGAACGCGUCGUCAGAGCUAAAUCAUUGAGCCUUGACACAUUUCUUUGCCCCAACGUCAUUUUCUGACCACUGCUAAUGGGCAGUUGGUUUCCUUUCUUAUUUUGAAAAAAUAAUAAAAAAUCGAGAUUUCCGCUACUAAUCAUUAGACAACGGCUAGUAUACAGUGGCGCAGGAUCAAGGCUUGUGGGCCCACAACCCGUGGGACCCAGCCGCUCGUGACGACAGUGCAGGGGAAAUUAUGAAUAUACAGUGAACGUAGUACUACACCUCACCUACUCCUGUCGUUUUCCAGCCGUGCCACGCGGGCCCCGCAGCGCGCUGCGCUCGUACUCGCUACGUUUUCUGGUCACGCCCCUGAAUUUCACGUAAGUGCCGGCUAAAAUACAUGUUUUAUCGUUCCUUUCUGGUAUCUGAACUGUGGCACCGUGCUGUUCUGGUAUCUGAGGCCUAGUUGGCUAAGGCCAUGUUUAGUUACUCCCAACUUCCAACUUUGACACUAUGCAAAAAGAAGAUUCCCCAUCACAUCAAACUUGCGGUACAUGCAUGGAGUACUAAAUGUAGAUGAAAUUAAAAAGUAAUUGCACAGUUUUGUUGUACUUUGCGAGACGAAUCUUUUGAGCCUAAUUAGUCAAUAUUUGGACAAUAAUUCACAAAUACAAACGAAACGCUACAGUGUGCUACAGUGCUGUAACAGUAAUUUGGCACCUCCCAAAUUGGCCAACUAAACAAGGCCUAAAUUGGAAGGUGCCAAAUUACUGUAGGAAGCCAUUGAUGAUGGUACUGANNNNNNNNNNNNNNNNNNNNNNNNNNNNNNNNNNNNNNNNNNNNNNNNNNNNNNNNNNNNNNNNNNNNNNNNNNNNNNNNNNNNNNNNNNNNNNNNNNNNNNNNNNNNNNNNNNNNNNNNNNNNNNNNNNNNNNNNNNNNNNNNNNNNNNNNNNNNNNNNNNNNNNNNNNNNNNNNNNNNNNNNNNNNNNNNNNNNNNNNNNNNNNNNNNNNNNNNNNNNNNNNNNNNNNNNNNNNNNNNNNNNNNNNNNNNNNNNNNNNNNNNNNNNNNNNNNNNNNNNNNNNNNGUCUCAUAGCUUAUUUUUCCAUGGUGACCUUUUUCCCGGAUUCAGGAAUAAGUUCCAGCUUCUGUAGUCAAGUUUGAGAGAGUACUCCUGCAGAUAACAAAGACGCAGUACACAGAUGGCCCACACCACUGACAUGGCACAAGUUCUAAGCAAGAGAAACAAAAGGAUCACAAUGGCUAGUUUAGUGAUUCUCUCCUAAAAUUGCAGCCCGGCUGGCCGAAGAUCUACAUGGUGACGUCCUCCAACCUUAGGGAAUCCUUUCGUUGGUAUUUACGAAUUAUUAUUCAAAUAUUAGCUAAUUAGGCUCAAAAGAUUCGUCUGGCAAAGUACAACAAAACUGUGCAAUUAGUUUUUAAUUUCGUCUACAUUUAGUACUCCAUGCAUGUACCGCAAGUUUGAUGUGACGGGGAAUCUUCUUUUUGCAUAGUGUCAAAGUUAGGAGUUGGGAGGUAACUAAACAUGACCUGAAUUGUGGCUCUGUGUUGUUUCAGGAAGCCAUUGAUGAUGGUACUGAUAAUGAGCAUGAUUUUGACACAAAAUCUGAGAAUGUUCUAGAUCUGCAACAACAGGAAAAGACAAUAUAUCCUCAAAGGCCUGGUGAACCAGAGUGUUCUCACUACAUGAAGCAUGGAUACUGUAAAUUUCAGAAGAGCUGCAUAUUCCAUCAUCCGACAGACCAUCUUUCAAACAAAUAGGUACACACCGUUAUGUGGUUCUUUUUUUUUCCCCCUUGGUAUCAAAUGUUCACAUAAAUAUGGUUACACCCUUGGGGGUUUGUUUUGUGUAUGAAAUUUUCAUAUAAAUACAGCCUAGCAGUUAAGGAAAAAGGUGAAAUGGAUGGAGGCAGGUGUGUGUUUGGGAAAAAAGUAUAUAUGCAUGGAUUAAAUCAAUUCUACUUUGUGGCAAGUGGUUACUAUUACCCUAAUAUUGGCAACUACCUUAAAUUAUUGCAUGAUAAUGUAGGCACAUAGCAUCUGAGUUUAUUACUCUCUUGUAGUGUCCCUUUCUGGGUCCUGCAUAUGCUAUUUACCUGGCAACUGGCAUACAAGAAUGGCACUAGGAAAUCCCUUUUGGCAUUGCUGGUUUGGACACCUUGUCUCGUCUUUUAUGCAACAUGGCCCAUAAUUAAAGUUGGUCUCCAUUUGUAUUGCGUUUGAAUCAUCAGAGGGCGGUAGCUGAUGUUUGCACAGCAAAUGACCUGUGGAAACUGCACGGCAGCCUUCAUUGUUUUGCCCCCUCAUCUGACUGGUUACCCUGGUGUUUUUGAUUGCCUUGUUUGCAGGACCGUUUCACCACUACCACUUCUGUAGCUGACUCAGGUGGGGGAUAUGACUGGCUGUGGCUGAUGAGUGGAGGAAGUUCUGAUGAUGGAACAGAAAAUGAUUGUAGGGAGCUUCAACCCUAGUCUUCUGUGAAGAGAUUGAUUAUUCUACCACGUUUGGGUCGAAUUUCUGCCCCCUAUCUGUCGUUAGAGUUCUCGUACCAGAUGUGAACUGCCUGGUGGCUCCCAACUCCCAGUCGCUCAUAUGCCAUAUAACGUUGCUGCGACCUCCCUGUGUUGUUAACUUGAGGUUGCGAACCACAUACUUAGCAUGCAGCUCUAGAUGCCUGCACUGACCGACCGAAGAUUGUGAUCAUGGCAAGAUUAAAAUAUCAGACCAUCUUUUGUAACGUGCGAUCUCCAUCGUUUUAUUUGUCGUUUGGAUCUUCAAGCUAAGUCGCGGCCUUUACUUUCUGUUGUCCCCUGAUAAGCAUGCAUGUGUUGGACUGUUGGUUAUGGUUGGGUCAGGCUGCUGGCCAAACCGAACGGUGGUCAAGCCGUUCGAUCGAUGCUGCGAGUUCAAGAGUCUUCUGCGCGUGUCCAGGCUUGGAGCUCUGGUCUUGCCUAAGGGUAUGGUAGUAUUACGCUGUGCGGAAUAAUUUGAUUUGGUCUGAUUGAUUCCCAAUUUUCAAAUGGUUGUUAGGUAUCGUCGUCGUCGUCGUGCACAGCACUCAUGAGACGCACGUUGGCGACACGCACCUGCACAUUGCCCAAGUUCCAAGGAAAGUAAAUUAAGAUGCUCGCAAUCAUGUGAGAGACGGUGCUCCUCAAAAGAUCGAUACCUAAACCAUGAACGAUCAUGCGAACCUGAAUUAUUGCGGUUGCAAGUGGCUACGGCGGAAUCAGAUCCCUCUGACUGAGAAUUCAGAUUACAAAUAAUCCUGGGACCCGGGUUGGCCGUUCGCAUUUGCAGUCACGCAUCAAGCGAUUAGGAUCACCUCUCUACAAAGCAUUCCGCAAUCAGCACGGAGUAGAAGCAUACACUUUGGAACCCCCCACCCCUCAUUUUUUCUUGUCGCUAAUAGUACCCCAUCCCCCGGUCAUGGCGGCGGUUCUGGACGCGUUCGCGUCCAAGCUGGCGAGCAUCCUAGCCGGCAUGGCGAAGGGCGAAGUGGAGAUGCUUCUUGGCGUACCCGGUGAGAUCACCAAGCUUGAGACCACGCUCGGCGACCUGAGCAGCAUUCUGGCAGAUGCUGAGAGGAGGCGCAUCCGUGACUCGACGGUGGAGCGGUGGGUGAGGGAGCUCAAGGAUGUCAUGUACGACGCCGAUGACAUCCUUGACCUCUGCCAGAUCAUGGAGGGCGGAGAAGAUCCCUCUUCUUCAGCUGCUGCUCGAAAAGCCACUUCAGGGUGCUGGAACAUCCCCGCGAUGUUCUUUUGCUUCCGCAACCCCGUGGUUGCACACGAGAUCGGGAAGAAGAUCCAAGCGCUCAACAAGCGACUGGAAGAUCUUGAGAAGAGAAGCUCCCGCUUUGGAUUCAUCAAGCAAGCAAUUAACUCCUCAGGUUAUUCCAUCAACAAUGCCAUCAAUCCUUGGUCCAAUAGUAAUACAAAGACUGGAUCGAUCAUUAUCAAGUCUGAUGUUGUCGGCGAGAAGAUCGAGGAGGAUACCAAGAAAAUCGUUGAUCUACUCAUCAGAAUGUGGACUCUCGCGUAGGAUUAAAUAGCAACAAUGUGAUUGUUGAUCUUGCANNNNNNNNNNNNNNNNNNNNNNNNNNNNNNNNNNNNNNNNNNNNNNNNNNNNNNNNNNNNNNNNNNNNNNNNNNNNNNNNNNNNNNNNNNNNNNNNNNNNUCAGGACAUGGUAUGCCAUUGUAACACAGGUAGUCUCAGGAUGAUGAUUCCUCUAACACAAUGGAUUAGUAUGGUGCGAACUUAAUUGCCAAAAAGAUAGAGAACUUCAGAUUGAUGCUAUCUUUUUUGUACUACGGGUGUCAACAUGUACACUCUACGAAGGCACAGGGUUGUCCGAAGUAGCCAGACGAAUGCAUUACUCCUCAUUGAUUAUGACCCUCCUCCAGAUGGCGCAGGUCGGCGAACCUUGGCUACACCGAGUAUAUCAUUAGCACUCUCUGGAAAGAACUAACGCCCGCCCCAGUCCGGUGACGGACUGCGCACGUGUGAUGCACGCGCCGUUGGUUUGCCGAGUGUCGAAAUGUUGCCGUGUGUCGCUGAGAGGUUUGCCGAGUGGCAAAAUUUUUACACUCGGCAUUGAGGUCAUUUGCCGAGUGCCAUAAAUCCGACACUCGGCAAACCUCUCAGCGACACACGGCAACAUUCCGACACUCGGCAAACCAACGGCGCGUGCAUCACACGUGCGCCGUCCGUCACCGGACUGGGGCGGCCGUUAGUUCUUUGCCGAGUGUUGGACUCCGACACUCGGCAAAGACAAGGUUCGCCGAGUGCCGCCUUCCGACACUCGGCAAAUAGAGAAUGUCGCCGAGUGCCUAGGCCUAGCCACUCGGCAAACACAGUACUUCGCCGAGUGUAAAAUGUUGGCACUCGGCGAACAAAAAAAAAAAAUCCUCCCCUAGCCUCCACACUUUUUCUACUCUCCACGUAGGACAUUUUGUAAGCCAUAAGAAAAGUUGGUAUAUUUUGUGGUCUGUUUGCUAUUUUUAAUGAAAUGAUUGCAUUAAUAAGAAUUUUUUUAUUCAUGUCAGAUUUUAACUGCAUGUACAUGAAAUGAUGGUUUUUAAUCAGUGGAAAAUUUAUAUCCAUAUUAUGGAGUCCGGAUUGAGUUCACAACCAGAAAAUGAAAAGAAAUUGUCAACAUUGUUUUUAAAAAAUGCCACCACGAACGUGAGGUUGAAUGGUGGUUAAAUUCCAAAAAAAGCAAACGAAAUCUGAAAAUCACAAGAUUUGUCAAGAUGUCAUGAUAUUAUGUGUGGAGGCUGUGGUAAAAAAUUGAGAAGGUUUUGCACAAUUUCUGACAUAUGAUGCUUAGAAGCCGACGCAUCUCCUUGAAGGAUUCAUAGAAGUUAGAGAGGACACAAUAAGAUUUGGAGUCCAAGUGACACUUGAGUUAACGUUUGGCUUCAAAUAUUUUUGCAUAGGCAACAUGCAACACAGAUUGGUUCGUGUCAAAAUUUGGAAAUUUUUUGGAUGCGUUUACUAUUUUUUAUUGAUUAAAUGCAAUUAUAGAAUUUUAGUAGAUAUAAAUGCAUAUUUCGCUAUAACUGCAUGAAAUAAUAGAACAUUAUCAGUAGAAAAAUAAUUUAAACAUUGUUGAGUGAUGUUGACACGAUUUUGCCCAAGUAUAUUAGGAAAAGAUCUGUAAAACAUGUUGUUUAAGGAGGCACAUGAAAUAUAAGUGUAUUUUACCGAGUGCAUAAAGAAAACACUCGGUAAAGGUAGUAUUUGCCGAGUGUUAGAUCGCAGGCACUCGGUAAAAAGGUUACAGGGCCCACUGGCAGUGUUCUCGUCCUGCUUUAAAAAAGAAAACCUUGUGUUUGCCGAGUGCCUUGAUCUGGCACUCNNNNNNNNNNNNNNNNNNNNNNNNNNNNNNNNNNNNNNNNNNNNNNNNNNNNNNNNNNNNNNNNNNNNNNNNNNNNNNNNNNNNNNNNNNNNNNNNNNNNNNNNNNNNNNNNNNNNNNNNNNNNNNNNNNNNNNNNNNNNNNNNNNNNNNNNNNNNNNNNNNNNNNNNNNNNNNNNNNNNNNNNNNNNNNNNNNNNNNNNNNNNNNNNNNNNNNNNNNNNNNNNNNNNNNNNNNNNNNNNNNNNNNNNNNNNNNNNNNNNNNNNNNNNNNNNNNNNNNNNNNNNNNNNNNNNNNNNNNNNNNNNNNNNNNNNNNNNNNNNNNNNNNNNNNNNNNNNNNNNNNNNNNNNNNNNNNNNNNNNNNNNNNNNNNNNNNNNNNNNNNNNNNNNNNNNNNNNNNNNNNNNNNNNNNNNNNNNNNNNNNNNNNNNNNNNNNNNNNNNNNNNNNNNNNNNNNNNNNNNNNNNNNNNNNNNNNNNNNNNNNNNNNNNNNNNNNNNNNNNNNNNNNNNNNNNNNNNNNNNNNNNNNNNNNNNNNNNNNNNNNNNNNNNNNNNNNNNNNNNNNNNNNNNNNNNNNNNNNNNNNNNNNNNNNNNNNNNNNNNNNNNNNNNNNNNNNNNNNNNNNNNNNNNNNNNNNNNNNNNNNNNNNNNNNNNNNNNNNNNNNNNNNNNNNNNNNNNNNNNNNNNNNNNNNNNNNNNNNNNNNNNNNNNNNNNNNNNNNNNNNNNNNNNNNNNNNNNNNNNNNNNNNNNNNNNNNNNNNNNNNNNNNNNNNNNNNNNNNNNNNNNNNNNNNNNNNNNNNNNNNNNNNNNNNNNNNNNNNNNNNNNNNNNNNNNNNNNNNNNNNNNNNNNNNNNNNNNNNNNNNNNNNNNNNNNNNNNNNNNNNNNNNNNNNNNNNNNNNNNNNNNNNNNNNNNNNNNNNNNNNNNNNNNNNNNNNNNNNNNNNNNNNNNNNNNNNNNNNNNNNNNNNNNNNNNNNNNNNNNNNNNNNNNNNNNNNNNNNNNNNNNNNNNNNNNNNNNNNNNNNNNNNNNNNNNNNNNNNNNNNNNNNNNNNNNNNNNNNNNNNNNNNNNNNNNNNNNNNNNNNNNNNNNNNNNNNNNNNNNNNNNNNNNNNNNNNNNNNNNNNNNNNNNNNNNNNNNNNNNNNNNNNNNNNNNNNNNNNNNNNNNNNNNNNNNNNNNNNNNNNNNNNNNNNNNNNNNNNNNNNNNNNNNNNNNNNNNNNNNNNNNNNNNNNNNNNNNNNNNNNNNNNNNNNNNNNNNNNNNNNNNNNNNNNNNNNNNNNNNNNNNNNNNNNNNNNNNNNNNNNNNNNNNNNNNNNNNNNNNNNNNNNNNNNNNNNNNNNNNNNNNNNNNNNNNNNNNNNNNNNNNNNNNNNNNNNNNNNNNNNNNNNNNNNNNNNNNNNNNNNNNNNNNNNNNNNNNNNNNNNNNNNNNNNNNNNNNNNNNNNNNNNNNNNNNNNNNNNNNNNNNNNNNNNNNNNNNNNNNNNNNNNNNNNNNNNNNNNNNNNNNNNNNNNNNNNNNNNNNNNNNNNNNNNNNNNNNNNNNNNNNNNNNNNNNNNNNNNNNNNNNNNNNNNNNNNNNNNNNNNNNNNNNNNNNNNNNNNNNNNNNNNNNNNNNNNNNNNNNNNNNNNNNNNNNNNNNNNNNNNNNNNNNNNNNNNNNNNNNNNNNNNNNNNNNNNNNNNNNNNNNNNNNNNNNNNNNNNNNNNNNNNNNNNNNNNNNNNNUUCUUCAUUCGACAAACAUCGACAAUUCCUUCUCCUGAUCAUCCUUUCAGACGAGAUAUUAGAAAUUUUACAAAAGAUGUCGUAGUUAACGACCCUCCACCGCAGAUGCUUACUUAGCCGCGGUUCGUGCUCAGUUAGACGCUCUGGAGGUCAACAUUCAAGAUGGUGGUUUUGUGGGAUAUGGCGAGCAACAUGCUUGGACCCAGAGAUCGUGCUUGUGGAACCUCCCCUAUUUUGAUGAUCUUCUUCUCCCACACAACAUUGAUGUUAUGCAUACUGAAAAGAACAUUGCCGAGGCAAUUUUUGGUACCAUUAUGGACAUUCCUGACAAGACAAAAGAUAACGUUAAGGCUAGAGUGGAUCAAGCAAUGUUAUGCAACAGACCAAAGUUAGACAUGGCGCCUCCCAGAGCAGGCAAGUCGUGGAGAAAGCCUAAGGCUGAUUUCGUCCUGACGAGGGCCCAAAGGAGGGAGGUAUUACAAUGGUUCGAAACGUUAAUGUUCCCUGAUGGGUAUGCAGCAAAUCUGAAGAGGGGAGUGAACUUAGCUACUAUGCGAAUCAACGGGCUCAAAAGUCAUGAUUAUCACAUAUGGAUUGAGCGUCUACUUCCGGUGAUGGUUCGAGGUUAUGUCCCUGAGCAUGUGUGGCAGGUGCUAGCGGAGUUGAGUAAUUUCUUCCGCCAGCUUUGUGCUAAGGAGUUAUCUCGGACCGUGGUUGACGAAAUGGAAAGAAUGGCGCCUAUGUUGCUCUGUAAGUUGGAGAAGAUCUUUCCUCCUGGCUUCUUCAAUCCGAUGCAGCAUAUGAUUUUACACCUCCCUUAUGAAGCACGAAUGGGGGGGCCUGUGCAGGGCCGUUGGUGCUACUCAAUUGAGAGGUGUCAAAAGGUUCUUCGAACGAAAUGUAAAAACAAAUGCAAAAUUGAAGCCUCCAUUGCAGAAGCAUACAUUCUAGAGGAGGUGUCAAACUUCACAACAAAAUACUAUGCUGACAACCUUCCUAAUGUGCACAAUCCACCGCCUCGUUACAAUGACAACGAAGUUGAAUCGAGCCUUAGUCUUUUUCGAGGACAACUUGGAAGUGCAAGUGGUGCGACACAAAAAAAAUUGACACAUAAAGAGUGGCGCACAAUCAUGUUGUAUGUAUUGACCAACCUAUCCGAGGUGGAGCCGUACAUGCUGUAAGUUUUGAACAAACUAGUUAAUUCUGAAUUUGUCAGUAUUCUUCGACAUAUUAUCAUGUUUCUCGUUGGUGUAGGGAAUUCCAUCGUAAGUUUUGGCGUCAUUCAAGGGAACCUACCCCACAAGAAGCCGAGACUCUUCUCAAAGAGGGUGCAGGAAAUGGAAUGCCCAAUUUCAUUUCCUGGUUCAAACAUAAGGUACAGUUGAUUUUAGCUCCUACUUAGCUUGAUUAGAAGUUGAUCGUAUAUGCGAAUAAUAUAACGAACCACCCUACNNNNNNNNNNNNNNNNNNNNNNNNNNNNNNNNNNNNNNNNNNNNNNNNNNNNNNNNNNNNNNNNNNNNNNNNNNNNNNNNNNNNNNNNNNNNNNNNNNNNCUACACAUCCUCGUGUGGGAUUAGGACCUAUCUUCACCUAAUAGAUAAUAUAGGAAACGCGUAGAUGCAACGUGAGUUUUUUAUAUUACUCGGUGAUAUGCUAGUGGAUGGAGGAUCGUCAGUGGAUGUACACGGGCCGAUCUAGUCAGAAUUCGUUGACCGAAGAAUGGAUAAACAAGACCGAUGCUUUCUUGGAACGGGCAUUUGCAAGGAUCAAAGGAGGAAGAGAUACUUGGUGUCCGUGUAGAAAAUGUGGAAAUCUGCGUCGGCAAACCAAGUUAGAAAUGGGUAAACAUCUUGUUAGGCACGGUUUUACCCCAGACUAUACCAUCUGGAUCUACCAUGGUGAAUUCGAUCGUGGGAGGGACGAGGUCAUCAGACAACGGAUCGAGCAAUAUGAUGAUGAUGCCGGGGUGGGAGACAUGUUAGAUGACUAUCAUGAAGCUCGUAGGGAGGAGGAACCCGAGGCUACCGCAAAGGCGUAUUACGACAUGUUGUGUGCGGCACAGCAACCCCUUCACGGGCAUACCAAGGUCUCUCAAUUGGAUGCCAUUGCACGUCUAAUGGCUGUUAAGUCCCAGUUUAGCUUGAGUCGAAACGCCUUCGAUGUUAUUUUGACAGUUUUUGGGAGUCUGCUCCCGGAGAAUCACAUCUUGCCAAAGUCUAUGUAUGAGGCACAAAAACUUCUUCGUGCACUUAAGAUGCCGUACGAGCAGAUACAUGCUUGUCCGAAGGGAUGUAUCUUAUUUAGAAAGGAAUAUGCGGAAUCAAAGUACUGUGUGAAGUGCGAAUCGUCUAGGUUCCUGGAGGUAGACUCUGGUGAAGGUCAGAAGAAGCAGCUUGCAAUCCCUGUGAAGAUCCUUCGGUACCUUCCCUUCAUACCGAGGAUCCAACGGCUAUACAUGUGUGAAGAAUCCGCGAAACAAAUGACAUGGCACAAAACCGGACGUCGAUACAAUGCUGAGAAGCUGGUACACCCAUCCGAUGGCGAAGCAUGGACAAAGUUUGAUGCGAUUUAUCAUGAGAAAGCUCGAGAGGCUCGUAAUGUAAGGGUUGCGCUCGCAACAGAUGGGUUCAAUCCUUAUGGAAUGGCUUCCGCCCCGUACACCUGUUGGCCUAUGUUCGUUAUCCCCCUCAAUCUCCCCCCUGGUGUUCUCUUUCAGCGACAGAACAUAUUUUUAUCGUUGAUAAUUCCAGAACAUCCAGGAAAUAAUAUGAGUGUGUACAUGGAGCCUUUAAUUGAUGAUUUGGUUCGUGCAUGGGAUGAAGGGGUAUGGACAUACGACCGUGCUACAAGGACAAACUUCAAGAUGCAUGUUUGGUAUCACUACUCCCUGCAUGACUUGCCAGCAUAUGGUAUUUUCUGUGGUUGGUGUGUUCACGGGAAGUUCCCAUGCCCAGUAUGCAAGGCUUCUUUGAAAUUCAUUUGGUUGACGAAGGGUGGCAAAUAUUCUUCAUUCGACAAACAUCGACAAUUCCUUCCUCCUGAUCAUCCUUUCAGACGAGAUAUUAGAAAUUUUACAAAAGAUGUCGUAGUUAACGACCCUCCACCGCAGAUGCUUACCUUAGCCGCGGUUCGUGCUCAGUUAGACGCUCUGGAGGUGAUGCACAGGCCGAGGAAACGGAGGGGGCACAGGUCCUUGCUAGAGGCAGGGGUCGGGGCAGGGGUCGAGGAAAGGGUAAAGGCGUGAGGCCCCCCUCGCCUGCGCCUUCGUCGUCGUCGGAGGACGAGGUACCUUUCGCGCACGCCUCUAGUGACGAGGCGGAGGUGGAGCAGGAGCAGGAGCAGGAGCAGGAGCAGGAGCAGGAGGCAGGGGAGGAGGCAGGGGAUUCGCAGUCCAAGAUCUGGUUGCGAGGUCCCUCGUCCCUUCCGAGGCGACCGAUCCCUCUUCAUUUACGCCCACUGAUUCAACCUACCGGGGCAAAGUAAGUAAUUUUACAUAUUCUUAGUACUUUUGAUAUGUUCAAAUUUACAAUAGAAACUAAUAAUGUAUAUUACUCACUUGUGUAGGAGUUGGAUUAAGCUCAGUGGGGGUGCCCACAAUCGCAAGGUCAACGGCAUCAUCGGUCUUUUGUGUAGGCUACACUUUCCCGGUCUGGUGGUUUUCGCCGGACAGGAGGAGCCGGCCUACACGUGGGACCACUACGUCGCCGCCGCCGACGUCGGUGAUCGUGACCACAGGCAAUUUGCGAACAAGGCGGAGCGAGUGAAGGCCGAGCUGUGGGUAAGUAUUCGAAGCACUAGAUUGCUUAAUACACAAGUUUCGCUAGACAUUCUUGAAAAAAUACUUGUUUGAAAUGUGUCUAUACGCAGGACUUUUAUAGAUGCCAAGAGGGAUUCGAGGCUAGGGCGGCCUCCGUCAUUGAACUAGCCGCAAAGAAGCUCGUUAAGGACAUGCACUACGAGGCGCGGGUUCAGGCCAUCAUCGACUUCUAUGCUGAAUACAAAAGGAUGAGGGUCAAAAAAGAAGAGGCUAGGACAAUGAACCUGACGAAGGAAGAAUUCAUGAUGGUACGUACAAAAAGUUAAUAUUAACUAUUUCUGAGAUUAAUUACGCUUCACUUCUUUUGUUAUAUGUCUGACACUUGAUGAUGUAGGUGCCUCCGUGGUGGUGCCGAUCCUUUACCCAUUGUUGGGAGCAAAUGGUGAACGUGUGGUUGCAGCCCGGGUGGUUGGAGAACCACAAUGCUUGCCGGGAGCGGCGUCUGCAGAUGCCAUAUGCACCACACCAUCAAGGCAGCCUGAGCCUUGAUGAAUACAAGGAAAAAUGGGUAUGUGAAUUCAUUUCUUUAGUAUCACACAUAAUGCACAUAAUACUGCAUAUUUUGUAAUCCUUUUGUAUUUUUGCCGCAGACGUCAUCACAUGAAGGCCAGGAGUGCUCCCGGUUCAAGGCAUGGGUUAUGUCCAAAAAGGGCAAGGCCUCGGCAGACAUCGACUUCAACCCGGAGGACCCGCCCGAGGCAUACAGCCAUCCCAGCAUCCACAGCCGUGUCACCGAGUACACAGCAAUGGCGAGGGAGGUUCAUGGGCCAGAGUUCGAUCCGAGCUCUCAGGAUAUAGAUCCUGAAAUUGUGAUGAGGGUGGGAGGAGGGAAGAAGCAUGGCAGGUACUGGAUUGGAGAUAGCGUGAUCGACACUACCAGUACUCCCACCCUCUCCCAGAUCCGAGCAAGGAGCACUGACUCGAGCCCCGCGAUACGGGCACGGCCUACCGCUGCACAGUUACAGAUGCAGGCUCUGCAGGUUAUUCCUGUUUCUUUAAUUUUUCAUUCAUUUUGUUCAUAUCUUGGCAUUGGCAAUAAGACAUUGGGAUGAAAUAUUGUAGGCCCAGGUGGAGGUAGAACGGAAGCGCCGGGAGGACCUAGAGGCGAGGAUCGAGGCAGAUCGGCAGCUAGAAAGGCAGAGGACGGAGCAGAUGUUCCAAUACAUGCAGAGUGUCUUUCACAGUUUAGGUCAGACUCCACCACCUAUGCCACCGAACCUAUUCCCGCCACCUCCACCACCUCCUGCAGCUACUCCUGUGAGUCACUCUCAACCUUACAAUCACUCUAGAAGUAAACUAGAAACUACAGGCACUACAGACUUACACUAGAAAAGUGACUAAUACAAUGUCUAUAAUUUGUGCAGAAUCAAUCGGCGGCGUCCAAUGCAGAAUCUUCUUGGGGGCAGUGGCCACCUGCACAUACUCCUCAGCCUCCUCAUCCUCCUCAUCCUCCUCAGUGACUUGUGAACUAGAUGUGUUAGCUGUGGUAAAACUUGUGAAUUACCUGUUUCGACCAUAACUUGCGAAUGUUAUUUGUGUGCUUGUGAUGCUUGUGCUGCAAUUUAUAUGCCUGUGGUGUAAUUUAUAUGCAUGUGCUUCUCUGGUUGUUUUUUUGAGAGGGGUCUUUUAUACGUAACAUUUUUGUUUUGUAGGGGGUGCUCGGGUACUUUGCCGAGUGUUAACACUCGGCAAAGACCCAAUUUUCUGUUGUAUCGACGUUUUUACCGAGUGCCAUUGCCUUGGCACUCGGCAAAGAUGCCAAAUUUUUUUUGCAGCAGGGCUCUUUGCCGAGUGCCAAGGGGGGCACUCGGCAAAACAUACAACUUCGCCGAGUGCCGUUGCCCAGGCACUCGGCAAAGGUGCCAAAAAUUUUUUGCACCAGGGCUCUUUGCCGAGUGCCAAGGGCGGGCACUCGGCAAAACAUACAACUUCGCCGAGUGCCAUUGCCUUGGCACUCGGCAAAGUUGGUAGGAUCGCCGAGUGUAAUGCGAAGAAAACACUCGGCAAAGAGGAAUACUUCGCCGAGUGCAAUGUGACAAAACACUCGGCAAAGCAGGUGGGUUCGCCGAGUGCAAUGUGAAAAAACACUCGGCAAAGAAGAUGGGUUCGCCGUGUGUCUGCCGUCUGACACUCGGCAAAGACGCCGUUACCGUCGGUGACCGUUACCAUCUUUUUGCCGAGUGUUACACUUUGCCGAGUGUAUUGUGGCACUCGGCAAAGCGUUUGCCGAGUGCCCGAUGAUUGACACUCGGCAAACGCACUGUUUGCCGUAGGAAACUUUGCCGAGUCAACUUCGCCGAGUGUUACACUCGGCAAACCUUUUGCCGAGUGUAAUUGACCCUUCGCCGAGUGCCCCAGGCACUCGGCAAAGUUACUGUUUCCGGUAGUGAAAGCUCAACAUCUUCAUCGAGUUGACAAGCUGCAAACAGAAGAUGCUUGGAUUUUACUAAAGAACCAGGUCAGUAAUAACUCACAUAUAACAUCACUUUUAGUCUUCUUCCUUUUCUUUUUCUUUUUCUCCCUUGGAGUUUCGCCAUCCUUUCUCUUUUCCGCUCUCCGCUGCAAUUUUUAUUGAAACGAGGCAGGAGAGUUGCCCAUUAUAUUAAGUAGUCCAUCAACCCGUGCUCCCGCACGGGCUAAUAUUUUUAGAAGCUAUUGUAUUUGAAAAUUAUUUAGAAAUUAAACUCCUAGCUAAUAAUCAAAAUUGAUUACCUACUACUCUCUUAUUUUUUUCAAUACGUCAACAUUAUACUUAUAUAGAUAUGUACCUAUCUUUAUCCAAUUGUGAUUGAUUUUUAAUUAAUAAUUACUCUAUGCACUUUUUCAUCCAUAUUCAUACUUUUUCCAUUUUGUAUCGCACCUCAAAUCCUCCAUACAUUAUGUUUAGCAUACAAAUCAAUAUUUUUCAUCGAUUCCUGACGUACAUGCAUAAAUGGUCUAAAUGGUGACACUUGUAUAUACUUUAACUUAGUAUUUUUAUAUUAAUAAUGACAUAAAUAGGUAAUUUAGAAUCAUAUAUUAGUUUAUUUUUGACAUUUAUGCAUGAUGCACAUGAAGAUAAUUAGAUUAAGAUUUAGAUGUUUAUUUUAGGUUAUUUUUAAUAACAACUUACGUGGGUAAUAUAGAUAAAAUUUUAGAAUGACUUUUUAAGUUAUACUUUAUAAUGAUAUGUAUUAGUAAAUUCGAUGAAGAUUAUAGGAUUACUUUAGAUUAUUUUUUAUAAUAGCUGAGCUCGGUAAUUUAGAUAUAGGUUUAGAGCUCAUUUUUUAAUAUUUUCACAAUGAUAGUGGUGGUUAACUUUUUAGAAAAUAUAAUAGAUUAAUGGCUAUGAUUAUUAGAGUUUAUAGGAUUGGUGUUUGAUAUUUUUGAUUUUUAUGAGAAUUUGUCUCUUUUUUUUCUAGCUUGUCUUAUGGGAACUAAUGCGGAGUCUCCAAUGAAAAAAAAUGGAACUACAUUGCUCAAAAAUAUUACCAUAAGCUACCUCUCGUUUGUUAAAUAUUCAAACACAAUAGAUAUAUACUUAUUAUCUUCAUCUAAUUGUCAUAGAUUUUAGUUAGUAAUUACUCUAUAAUAUUUUCAUCCACAUUUAUAAUCUUUAACUUUUCACUUUGCAUCGCAGGUAUGCGUUUGAAUUUGUUUAAUGAACCCUAAGUUUGUGAUACAAUUUUAACAUAGAAAUCUAUAUUCUCAUCACUUCCUCUAUAUCUUUAUAAAUGGUGACACAUCAUGUGUAUAGACCUUAAUUUUAUAUCAUAUACCAAUAGUGCAAGAUAUAGACGAUUUAGAAUCAUAUAUUGUUGUAUAUUUUAAUUAAGGUUAUUUGAUUCAAACGUAGGGUUAUCAUGUUACUUUUAAUGAUGGCAUGUGUGGGUAAUAUAGAUGCAAAUUUAACAGGUUACUUUAAGUUUUUAAGUAAUAGUGGUGGGCAAUUUGGUUGCAAAUUAGGGGGUUAUUUUAAAUAUUGUUUAUAAUGGCAUAAGUGAGUAAUUUUGAUGAAGAUUAGGGGGUUACUUUAGUUUAUUUUAUAUAAUGGCAGAGGUGGGUAAUUUAUAUAUAGAUUUAAGGGGUUACUUUAGGUUAUUUUCAUAAUGGUAUAGGUGGGUAAUUUUUUAGAAAACAUAAUAGAUUUAAUGGCUAUGAUGAUUUGAAUCUAUAGAUCAAUGGUCGGAUGUUUUGCUUUUUUGUGAGAAUUUCUAGAAUUUCUCUCUUUUUCCAGAGUGUCCACCUAGGAAUCCUAGGUGGCUUCACCUGAAGGCUUCAAAAGGAGCCUCCAAUUAGUAAUAGUAAGAUAAGAUUGAGAAGAGAAGACGGCCAAUGGCCGGAGAUUUACAGCGGGGUAUGUAAGUUCAAAAAGGUCACGCUCUACACAAUAAGCGUGCCAAAUUCUUAGCCCAGCUAGAACCCAUGUCUUAGCUUCGUCUCUGAUCUUUGUGGCAAUCCUAAACGGCGGUGCUUCAACUCUCUAAAAUAUGCGGGAGUUGCAUUCUAACCACACUUCCCAGCAAACUAAAAUGAUUAGAGAGUGCAGACCUUUGUGCGAGAUCCCUGUCGUUCUUGCCCUGUCCUCCCACCAUACUUGAAGUGACGCAUAAGGUUAAGGUUGAGGUUGCAGUUAUUCUUGUCACUGGCUUUGUAGAUGAGAUUAAAAUCUUCAAGCAGAAGCCAAGGAGUUCCAUUCAGGGGCUUGAUGUUUGUGAGUUCCUGGAGAAAAGCUUGUUUUUUGGUUUGUCUUGAGGGCCAUAUUUAGCCGGAAGUUAAUUGGUUGUUCGCGUAAGUUGGCUGUUGCAGUUAUGUGAAAUUCGCUAAUUGAAAUGUCGCUUAUGUCGACAUAGUUGUCAUUCCAUAGUAGUAGGAUGCCCCCUCUAGUGCCGCUCCGUCUUUCUGCAGGCUUGUAUUCAAAUUUGUUCAGAUGAUGCCUGCCCAGGUAGGCUGCCGUGAAUUGGUCGAUGUUACUUGGUCUCCUGCACGCAUGCUAUGUGGCAUAGCGUUGAUGCCAUUGUCUUGUGAGCCUUUAUCGUUCGCUCUUAACCUACCAAAACAUGCCUCAUGUGUAAUGAUCGAACAUUCUACUGACGUCGAGUGAAGUUCUAUUUGGUUGCUCUAGCGCACCCACUUUAUUUUUACCUACUAUGACAACCUCUGUUUAAGUUAUUGCUAAAUCCAAUGCAUUAUAACACAGCAUAGUUUGUAUACGCUUGAGUUUUUUUAAUUGUAGCGCCACUUUCUCUCUCACACACGCUACAAUUUUUCUAAUAGGUAGUUUUGAAUGAGAGUGAUGAAGCUGAUGUCGAUGAAUUGAGGAGUAUCGGGAUGGAAAUUGUUAAAAGAUGUGACCGCUUGCCGUUAGCAGUUAAGGUCCUUGGAGGACUCUUGCGCUGCAAAAGUAGAACAAGAGAUGCUUGGACGGAUGUUACUAGCCACAACACUUGGUCGACAACAGGAAUCGAUGAAGAUAUUAAUAAAGCGGUCUAUUUGAGUUAUGAAGACUUGCCCUCACACCUGAAGCAAUGUUUUGUGUAUUGUUCCCUAAUCCCUAAAGGUAAAUUAAUAAUGAGAGGAACAAUGGUCCGGCUUUGGAUUGCAGCAGGUCAUGUACACAACAAGGCACCAGAAAAGUUGGGGAAAGAAUACUACAAAGAAUUGGUUUCAAGAAAUCUUCUAGAACCAAACAAAAAAUACUAUGGUAGAUCAGCAUGCAGCAUGCACGAUGUUAUCCGAUCCUUCACUCAGUAUAUAAUUAAAGAUGAAGGGAUACUUGUUAGUGAUGGGCAGGAUGUCAAUAGAAGUCUUAGCACUGCAAAGCUUCGGCACCUAUCUAUCUCAAACAAGGCACUAGGGCAUGACACUUUGCAAAAACAAGCCUUGCUUAGAACAUUAAUGUUAUUCGGAAGCAGCACCAUUGUUGAGCUAAAGGAUCUGUUGAACAACUUUUCUUGCCUAAGAGUACUACAUCUAGUAGAUGUAGAUCUAGUUGAGCUGCCAGACUCCAUAUGCCACCUCAAACAUUUAAGAGACUUAAGUAUUUAUAACGCAAGCAUAUCCACAAUUCCUCAAGGCAUAGGAGAUCUAAAAUUUCUACAAUCUAUUGACCUUGAUGGGUGUGCAAAUAUUCAUCAACUUCCUAACAGCAUCCUAAAGCUGCGGAAGCUAAGGUCACUCAACUUGAGCGACACGGCAAUCACUUCAAUUCCUCGUGGCUUGGGAAAACUAGAAGAUUUGGUCCACAUAAGCGGGUUUCCAACACAUUAUUCAGAUGAGAGCACAUGUGGCUGGUGCAGCUUAGAAGAACUCAGACCUCUGUCGAAGCUCCAAAGCCUUGAAAUAAGUUGUCUGGAGAAAGCACCUUCCGGUUCUAUGGCUGCUAAAGCAAACCUUAGCAGUAAACAUCACCUGACACGGUUACAUUUGGUAUUUACCAGCAGGCUAGGAGACAACGGGAAGGUCAAAGGCAACAUUAGCGAGGAGGAACACAGGAGAACAGAGGAGGUGCUGGAUAAUCUGUGUCCUCCAACUUGCAUGGAAGAACUUGAUAUCAAAGGCUACUUUGCACGUGGGCUACCGCAGUGGAUGAGAACCAUGUCAGCCUUUGGGAGCUUAAGGCGGUUGCAGCUAGAUGACGACGCAUGCUGCACGCAUCUACCUAAUGGAUUGGGGCAGCUCCCCUUUCUUGAUUAUUUUUGGUUCAAUCGUGCUCCGUCUGUCCGGUGCGUUGGGCACGAUUUCCUCUUCCCCUCCUUGGGUGGUCAAGCUGAUGGCAAAGUAACACGGAACAAUAACAGGCAGCCUCAUCAUACUUUGCGAGGUGCUGGUGUUGCUUUUCCCAAGUUGAGAAAAGUGGGUUUUGUAGGCAUGCUGGGAUGGACGAAUUGGGAGUGGGAGCAGCACGUCCCAGCGAUGCCUGCACUAGAGGAGCUUACAAUCAUAAACUGCAAACUGCAACACCUUCCUGCAGGGCUUGCACAACAUGCAUGCCGGUUGAGAGAGUUGCGCCUGACACAUGUCCAGCACUUGGUCUCUGUUGAGAACUUCCCUUCACUAGUCAAGCUUUGGUCAUAUGACAACCCAAGGCUGGAGAGGAUCAGCAACAACCCGAGCUUGCAAUGGAUUGACAUUAGAAAUUGCCCAGCACUAGAACAAUUGGACGGUUUGCCAUCCCUCCGAAGCCUCGAGUGGAGGGAUUUGAGUGCUGAAGCACUCCCAGAAUACUUGCGAGAGGCAAAGCUAAAGAAAUUGCGUGUAGAUUGCAGCCGAAGAUUGCUCAAACUGAUAGCACUACAAGAUGAAUCCUCCGAAUGGGGAAAGAUCCAGCAUGUCCAGCAACUAGAGGCGUAUGGACACAAGAUAGAAGGAGAAGCGGAGGAAGCCGACCAAUCGCACGAAGAUGAGGAUGCCGAGUGGUACAUCUACUGUACCAAGGAGCCGUAUUCAUUCGACGCGUACCUGGGCAAGUCCACGGGUGAGUUCAUCUUCGACCUACUCGGUGGUUUUAUAACUGUAUGUGUGUGUACACUCAUGUAAAAAUGGAUUUCUAACUGUAUAUUCUCCUGCGCACAGGAUGAAGAUGAAGCAGAAGUAGACGAGGUGAACGAAGAGCAGAGUCCAGGAAUAGAAUAUAGUAAGAAUGCAAGGAACAGAGGAAGCUCUCAGGCUGUUACGACAGGACGAGCAUUCGAAUCCAUCCACCAAAUACUAGGUAUGAAUUGCCCAAAUACUGAUGGUCUUGUAGUUGUACACGCCAAAUUGGCUGUGACUAUUCUAACUGGAAAGCAUUGUCGUGUUAACGCAGGAGAAAGAAACCCAAGAAGGAGAAGAACACAUCGCAAUUGGGUGGUGGCAAUGUGGCAUACUGUCCCUCAAAUUCGUAAGUUGUAUAUGUUUGUGUGCGAAAAAUAUAAUACAGCAGUAAGGCGCGAGCGUCUCUCUAACCAGUUGUUGUGACGCUCAGGAAUGGAGCGCCAGCACGGGCGGCCUUGGACUCGUUGGAGCGAAUACGCGUCGGGGACGAGCGAUGGGCUGAGAGGUGAAGCACUGAACGUGCGCGCGAAGGGCAGCAGGGAAGGGAUUUGCACAUUUAGCUCCCAGGAUUUGCACUUCUUGUUGGCGUAUUUGUAGGCAGGUCUGCACUCCAUCUCUUCUUUUCGGUUGGUCUCUGCUAGCUCGUCAGACUUUCUACAGUGUUUUUGAAUGUUCGAUAGCAAAUGAGUGUAGGAAUUUGCAGACGUGCUCUAUGAUGCCGAGAUAACAAUUGCAUCCCCCCCUCAUGGAUCCUCUGGAAAGCUGAAGCUACUCUGCAAGACUGCAACGAUUGCAGCAACACGGACGUGCCUACUAAAAACAUGGUGCAAUAAAACUGCGAAAUGCUAAACAAGGUCAAGCCGGCAGCCAGGUAAACAACAUUCCAGGCAGCAGGUAUAUUCUGAGCCGUGUGAGAAUUAUCUGUCUGCAAUAGCUUUUUCAUGGGUAGCUAUCACUCGCAUGUGGAUCGUGUCUCUGGCUGAUCCGUUCAGCGUGGACCGGAGCCAACAACGGGGAUAAGAAGUCCCAACUAGUAGUAGUUGGCUGCCAAUGCGGUGGCCAAAAUUUGACCAAGCCAAGGCUAGUAAACAGCAAAUUUGGUACUGUAGGCGCGCUAUUAUAUAGCGGAAGCAACCAAAGUUAUAUAAAUAUUAAUUAUGGAUAAUACAAAGUUAUAUAAAUAUUAAUUAUGGAUAAUAAAGAGGGAGAACUAAUCAGGACGCUGACGAUGCUUCUAGUUGAUCCAUCAUGCUCCAAAAUCUUUCUGCAAGUCAGGAGCUGCAGGAUAUAAGUGCAGAACUGCCUGCCGAUUUCAAAAAAUUAAAAAAAAUUAAAGAAAAAAGAACUGACUGCCGAUGGCCACUCAAGGUAGUAAAAACUAUAGGAAUGCUAUUAGUAGUUCCAGUGUUCCACUGGUAGCUGCCAUUUGCGCUUUGCUGAUCCGUUAGGUGCGGAGCCAGCGACGAAGAGAAGAGUUGAAGCGUCUCUCUGGGGGUUAGUUGAGGCGUCUCUCUUUUGCACCUCAUCAAUAGAGACAAAUAAUUUGAGUUGCAUAUUUUUUGACUACUGACUGGACACCCAAUCGAGGUCCACAAAAAUAUGGAGUAGCGUACUCUUCUGGCACUCCUAUGCGUUGAACUUCUUCGCCUCGCCAUCUCAUCUGCCCAUCCGUGAUUUUCCAUCGACCGGCCAGGCCUUCCUUCUGUAUAAAGCGUCUCCUAAAUCACCGCAGAGUGUACACCCCCACAUAUCUGAAACCUAGUCAUCUUCCUUUUGCUCUCUGCUUUGCUACCCUGUUCCCCGACCAUGGCAGAGCUGCUGGACGAGUUCGCGUCCAAGCUUGUGGGCAUCCUGGCAGGCAUGGUGAAGGAGGAGGUGGAGAUGCUCCUCGGCGUGCCGGGUGAGGUCACCAAGCUCGAGACCACGCUCCGUGACCUGAGCGACAUCUUGGGUGAUGCGGAGAGGAAGCGCAUCCGUGACAAGGCUACGGAGGGUUGGGUGAGGGAGCUCAAGGACGUCAUGUACGACGCCGAUGACGUCCUUGACCUCUGCCAGCUCAUGGAGGGCGGAGAAGAUCCUCCCGCACCAACAUCUGCUCCAAAAACCACCUCAAGGUGCUGGGACAUCCCCAAGAUGUUCUUUUGCUUCCGCAACCCUGUUGUGGCACAUGAGAUUGGAACGAAGAUCCAAGCGAUCAACCAGCGACUGGAAGACCUGGCAACGAGGAGCUCCCGUUUCGGAUUCAUCACCCAAGCCAUCCAUUCCUCAGCUGAUUCAAUCAACAAAGCUUCCAAUUCUUUGUCGACCGACGAGACUGGAUCGGUUUUUAUCCGGUCUGAUGUUGUCGGCGAGAAGGUUGAGGAUGACACGAAGAAAAUUGUAGAUCUACUCAUCAAGAAGAUGGAUGCUCCCGUAGGAUCAAGGGCCAAUAAUGAUGUGGUUGUUGCUGUUGCUAUCACAGGCACAGGUGGGAUAGGCAAAACCACUCUUGCUCAGAUGGUCUUCGGUGAUAGUAGGGUGGAGGAAAAAUUCGAGGAAAGGAUCUGGUUGAGCGUUAACCGUGAGUUCAAUGAGAUCAACGUCCUACAAAGUCUUAUAACUUCUUUUGGUGCCAAACAUGAAGGCUGUGCGGGAAACAAGGACCUACUUCAGCGUGCCCUGAAGGAUACGAUCCGGCAAAAGAAGAAGUUUUUGUUGGUGAUGGAUGAUGUGUGGAGGGAAAAUGUGUGGUAUAAGCUGCUUAGAGAGCCGCUCAAUCAUGGUGCUUCUGGCAGUCGAGUCUUGGUGACCACAAGAAAUGAUGGAGUUGCUCAUGGGAUGAAAGCUCAACAUCUCCAUCCAGUUCACAAGCUAACAACGGAAGAUGCUUGGAUUUUGCUAAAGAACCAGGUCAGUAAUAACUUUUAUUUAUUACAGUAAUUAUUUAUGCAGUAAUUUGAAUUUACUGUAACAACUUUUAUCUCUUCUUAAUUACUUUCUCUCCCUUGGAGGAAUGCACGAUAGCCCACUGCUCGUUAUUUCUCUUGUCGCUCUUGUCCGAUCUGAUUACGCAAAGGACCAUGUAAUUUCACUACGAGCCUUUUAUCAUACUUUCAUAAGCUCUUGGCUUAGCAAAACUUGUCUCAUGGUUAUAUUUAGUUGAACAUAUCCUAUUGACGUUGAGGGAAGUUUUGUUUAGUGCAAGGAAUCGGAUACCGUAGCCUAAGAGGGGGAGAGGGUGAAUUAGGUAACUUAAAACCUUAAUCUAUAGCUUCCGCUACUUUUGCAUCAAAUUUAAUUAGAUCAUGUAUCAAGAUGUGUAACUAUGGUUGAUCUAGUGUGAAAUCCUCAUCCUAAAAUUAGUUUUGCAACCUAGAGGCAAUCCUAACAAGAUACUACACUAAGAAUGUAAAGGCACACAAGUUGCAAGUAUGAAAUGUGGAAAUGAAAAGGAGGGGAUGAGGGGAAGCAAACUCUUGACACGAUGAUUUAUCCCGUUGUAUCGGUAGGCACUAAACCACCGCUAGUCGACAUUGUUGAAGCACUCACACAAGAGUAUUGCUUUCCGGUCACCAAGUCUCUCUCGGGAUACUCCUUGCUUUGCCACGAAGGCUUGGCCGCUAAGGCUCACGUCAAAUUCUCAGGUCACCUUGAUACCAUCUCCACAAAGGAGCUUCUCCACGAAGGAAGGGGGUCUCCACGUUCCCUGCAUAUUGUCGUCGACGCCGAUCCAUGCCAAACCGGAGGGUCGAAGACUUACCGGCGAACUACCAAGGCUCCAAGAUAGCACACCUUGUACAGCUGUGGUUCACUCCUAGAACCGAUCACAAGGCAGGCACACCUUGCACUCUCUCUUCUCUAGGCCUAUCCUAGCACUAAAUAUUCUUAUAAGCUUGUGCUAAGCCUUUGAUUAAUCACUUAUGCACUUUUGGUGGCUUGGAUGUGUUCUUGAUGAGUCUUGAUCUCCAAUGGACUUCUGCAUACUCCAGCUUCAUCCAGCAACUCCAAUGGGUGAGUGGAGGGGGUAUAAAUAGCCCAAGAACUCAAAGAGCCGUUGCUCCAACGGCUAGUUAAAGUAUACCAUCGGAUGUUCCGAUGGUAUCAUUCGGGGUAGCAUUCGAACAUCUGGUUCUACCAGCCCUUGCCUCCCCGCGCUUAGAUUCUACUCAAGUUCCUCACCGACGCAAUCCAUCGAUUGAUCAAGUGGUCCCUCUAGCACCCAUCGGAUCAUCCGGUGCAGUAGCUUCCUAUGCCAAAACGUCUCUGUUAGUUUCUAAAAUAAAUAUGCUUCAUCCGAUGCCCCCACGACACAUAGCGUCGGAUCAUCCGGUGCCUCCUUCUUUCUUCUCUUUGCUCCGGCGAUUCAUCCGAUGGAUACAAAACUUAGGCCAUCGAAUCAUCCGAUGGUCCUACUUUGACUUGGUCUCCACAUGGCGUACCAAAAGCUCCGAUGCUUGCACCGAUGCUUUUUCAACUGGCCAUCGAAACAUCCGAUGGUCUCAAAAACCUGCUUCACGCUUGGCACCGACUGAUUCGGUGGGCACCUUCUUCUUGUCACCAGAUGAAUCGGUGACUAUAAUGAUUCCUGUUUUUCUUUGAUUCUUUGCUUAUCUUUGGUUGUGGUUGCUUCCUCAGGACCUAUAAUACCUUCAAGAUAUGUUUUCAAUGCUUUGUUAGUCCUGAUGACCGUGUUGUCACAUUAAUCACCAAAAUCACAAACAAAUAGCCUAUUCGGGGCCAUGUUUGCUACAUUUAGGCUAUUCCCAAUGGGGAUUUCAUAAGAGUUUCAUUUAAUGAUGCGACACACCAACAAUUUUGAUGAUAUGGCAUGCUAAUAAUCAUGAAGAGAGAGAGGGAAUGAGUUUAAUCCUGAUUAAACUAUGUAUACAUUGUUUCCAAGACUAUGAAACCUGAUGAAACUAGCAUUGGGGAUUAGAGAGUUUCAUUUCAUCUCAUAACAUCCAAUCACAUACCUCGCAAUUAAACGUUAUGUCCAGCCUAUGAAAUCGCGAAAUGAAACUCUCCAUUGGGAGAUCUUGUGUCAUACAUCCACUCAAACAUCUUUCGAUGACGUACCACUCUUGAAAAUUGUAAUUGAAAUUUCCCACUGGGAAUAGCCAUGGUUGCUCUAGAGUCUAGACUCUAUUUAAGUCACUUCAACUUUUUCCCUACACACAACCCCUGCAACAGUUAUGAUACAACAUAAAAUCCAUUGGGAGCUUUUCGAUUCUAGCACCAUUUCCUCUCUCAAACUUGCUGCAUUUUUUUUCCAAUACUAGGUAGUUUCGAAUGAGAGUGAUGAAGCCGAUGUCGAUGAAUUGAAGAGUAUCGGGAUGGAAAUUGUUGAAAGAUGUGACUGCUUGCCGUUAGCAGUUAAGGUCCUUGGAGGACUCUUGCGUCACAAAAGGAGAACAAGGGAUGCCUGGACGGAUGUUAGUAGCCACGAUAUUUGGUCGACAAUAGGAAGCGAUGAAGAUAUUAAUAAAGCGGUCUAUUUGAGUUAUGAAGAUUUGCCUUCACACUUGAAGCAAUGUUUUGUGUAUUGUUCGCUAAUCCCUAAAGAUCACUUGAUAUCGAGUGGAGUAAUAGUCAAGCUUUGGAUUGCAGCAGGUCAUGUACACAACAAGAUGAGCUGUAAGGUACCAGAAAAGUUGGGGAAAGAAUACUACAACGAAUUGGUUUCAAGAAAUCUUCUAGAACCAGACAAAAGUUACUAUAGUACAGUAGUAUGCAGGAUGCACGAUGUUGUCCGUUCCUUCGCUCAGUAUAUAAUUAAAGAUGAAGGGAUACUUAUUAGUGAUGGGCAGGAUGUUAAUAGAACUCUUAGCACUGCAAAGCUUCGGCACCUAUCUAUCUCAAACACGACAGUAGGGCAUGACACUUUGCAAAAACAAGCCUUGCUUAGAACAUUAAUUUUAUUCGGAAGCAGUACCACUGUUGAGCUAAAGGAUCUGUUGAACAACCUUUCUUGCCUGAGAGUACUACAUCUAGUAAAGGUAGAUUUAGUCGAGCUGCCAGACUCCAUAUGCCACCUCAAACAUUUAAGAUACUUGUGUAUUUGUAACGCAAGCAUAUCCAGAAUUCCUCAAGGCAUAGGAGAUCUAAAAUUUCUACAAUCUAUUGACCUUGAUGGGUGUGCAAAUAUUCAUCAACUUCCUAACAGCAUCCUAAAGCUGCGGAAGCUAAGGUCACUCAACUUGAGCGACACGGCAAUCACUUCAAUUCCUCGUGGCUUGGGAAAACUAGAAGAUUUGGUCACCAUAAGGGGGUUUCCAACACAUUAUUCAGAUGAGAGCACAGGUGGCUGGUGCAGCAUAGAAGAACUCAGACCUCUGUCGAAGCUCCAAAGCCUUGAAAUAAUAUGUCUGGAGAAGGCACCUUCCGGUUCUAUGGCUGCUAAAGCAAACCUUAGCAGUAAACAUCACCUGACAUGGCUAGAUUUGGUAUUUACCAGCAGGCUAGGAGACAACGGGGUGGUCGAAGGCAACAUUAGCGAGGAGGAACACAGGAGAACAGAGGAGGUGCUGGAUAAUCUGUGUCCUCCAACUUGCAUGGAAGAACUUGAUAUAAAAGGCUACUUUGCACGUGGGCUACCGCAGUGGAUGAGAACCAUGUCAGCCUUUGGGAGCUUAAGGCGGUUGGUGCUACAUGACUACGCAUGCUGCCCGCAUCUACCUAAUGGAUUGGGGCAGCUCCCCUUUCUUGAUUAUUUUUGGGUCAAACGUGCUCCGUCUGUCCGGUGCGUUGGGCACGAUUUCCUCUUCCCCUCCUUGGGUGGUCAAGCUGAUGGCAAAGUAACACGGAACAAUAACAGGCAGCCUCAUCAUACUUCGCGUGGUGCUGGUGUUGCUUUUCCCAAGCUGUCAGAAGUGGGUUUUGUAGGCAUGCUGGGAUGGACGAAUUGGGAGUGGGAGCAGCACGUCCCAGCGAUGCCUACACUAGAGGAGCUUACAAUCAGAAACUGCAAACUGCAACACCUUCCUGCAGGGCUUGCAUACCAUGCAUGCCGGUUGAGAGAGUUGGACCUGAGAAAUAUCCAGCUCUUGGUCUGUGUGGAGAACUUCCCUUCACUAGUCAAGCUUUGGUCAUAUGACAACCCAAGGCUGGAGAGGAUCAGCAACAACCCAAGCUUGCAAUGGAUUGACAUUAGCAAUUGCCGAGCACUAGAGGAAUUGGACGGUUUGCCAUCCCUCCUAAGCCUUGAGUGGUGGAAUUUGAGUGCUGAAGCACUCCCAGAAUACUUGCGAGAGGCAAAGCUAAAGAAAUUGCGUGUAGAUUGCAGCCGAAGAUUGCUCAAACUGAUAGCACUACAAGAUGAAUCCUCCGAAUGGGGAAAGAUCCAGCAUGUCCAGCAACUAAAGGUGUAUGGAUGCAAGAUAGAAGGAGAAGCGGAGGAAGCCGACCAAUCGCACGAAGAUGAGGAUGCCGAGUGGUACAUCUACUGUACCAAGGAGCCGUAUUCAUUCGACGCAUACCUGGGCAAGUCCACGGGUGAGUUCAUCUUCGACCUACUCGGUGGUUUUAUAACUGUAUGUGUGUACACUCAUGUAAAAAUGGAUUUCUAACUGUAUAUUCACCUGCGCACAGGAUGAAGAUGAAGCAGAAGUAGACGAGGUGAACGAAGAGCAGAGUCCAGGAAUAGAACAUAGUAAGAAUGCAAGGAACAGAGGAAGCUCUCAGGCUGUUACGACAGGAGGAGCAUUCGAAUCCAUCCACCAAAUACUAGGUAUGAAUUGCCCAAAUACUAAUGGUCUUGUAGUUGUACACGCCAAAUUGGCUGUGACUAUUCUAACUGGAAAGCAUUGUCGUGUUAACGCAGGAGAAGAACACAUCGCAAUUGGCAUACUGUCCCUCAAAUUCGUAAGUUGUAUAUGUUUGUGUGCGAAAAAUAUAAUACAUCAGUAAGGCGCGAGCGUCUCUCUAACCAGUUGUUGUGACGCUCAGGAAGGGAGCGCCAGCACGGGCGGCCUUGGACUCGUUGGAGCGAAUACGCGUCGGGGACGAGCGAUGGGCUGAGAGCUGAAGCACUGAACGUGCGCGCGAAGGGCAGCAGGGAAGGGAUUUGCACAUUUAGCUCCCAGGAUUUGCACUUCUUGUUGGCGUAUUUGUAGGCAGGUCUGCACUCCAUCUCUUCUUUUUGGUUGGUCUGUGCUAGCUCGUCAGACUUUCUACAGUGUUUUUGAAUGUUCGAUAACAAAUGAGUGUAGGAAUUUGCAGACGUGCUCUAUGAUGCCGAGAUAACAAUUGCAUCCCCCCCUCAUGGAUCCUCUGGAAAGCUGAAGCUACUCUGCAAGACUGCAACGAUUGCAGCAACACGGACGUGCCUACUAAAAACAUGGUGCAAUAAAACUGCGAAAUGCUAAACAAGGUCAAGCCGGCAGCCAGGUGAGCAACAUUCCAGGCAGCAGGCAUAUUCUGAGCCGUUCAGCGUGGACCGGAGCCAACAACGGGGAUAAGAAGUCCCAACUAGUAGUAGUUGGCAGCCAAUGCGGUGGCCAAAAUUUGACCAAGCCAAGGCUAGUAAACAGCAAAUUUUGUAGCAAACCAAAAUUAAAAUGCGACGUAACCAAAGCGCUGGCGUAACCAUGUCGACAUUAGACCUGAUUUGUUAAUACGUGCUGAGAUGGCGAGGCAUAUCUUGUAACCAGCGACGAAGAGAAGAGUUCAAGCUGCAUUGGAUACAUGUGCUCCUGCCUCCUGGGGGUUAGUUGAGGCGUCUCUCUUUUGCACCUCAUCAAUAGAGACAAAUAAUUUGAGUUGCAUAUUUUUUGACUACUGACUGGACACCCAAUCGAGGUCCACAAAAAUAUGGAGUAGCGUACUCUUCUGGCCCUCCUAUGCGUUGAACUUCUUCGCCUCACCAUCUCAUCUGCCCAUCCGUGAUUUUCCAUCGACCGGCCAGGCCUUCCUUCUGUAUAAAGCGUCUCCUAAAUCACCGCAGAGUGUACACCCACACAUAUCUGAAAUCUAGUCAUCUUCCUUAGUCAUCUUCCUUUUGCUCUCUGCUUUGCUACCCUGUUCCCCGACCAUGGCAGAGCUGCUGGACGAGUUCGCGUCCAAGCUUGUGGGCAUCCUGGCAGGCAUGGUGAAGGAGGAGGUGGAGAUGCUCCUCGGCGUGCCGGGUGAGGUCACCAAGCUCGAGACCACGCUCCGCGACCUGAGCCACAUCUUGGGUGAUGCGGAGAGGAAGCGCAUCCGUGACAAGGCUACGGAGGGUUGGGUGAGGGAGCUCAAGGACGUCAUGUACGACGCCGAUGACGUCCUUGACCUCUGCCAGCUCAUGGAAGGCGGAGAAGAUCCUCCCGCACCAACAUCUGCUCCGAAAACCACCUCAAGGUGCUGGGACAUCCCCAAGAUGUUUUUUUGCUUCCGCAACCCUGUUGCGGCACAUGAGAUUGGAACGAAGAUCCAAGCGAUCAACCAGCGACUGGAAGACCUGGCAAAGAGGAGCUCCCGUUUCGGAUUCAUCACCCAAGCCAUCCAUUCCUCAGCUGAUUCAAUCAACGAAGCUUGGAAUUCUUUGUCCGACGAGACUGGAUCGGUUUUUAUCCGGUCUGAUGUUGUCGGCGAGAAGAUUGAGGAUGACACGAAGAAAAUUGUUGAUCUACUCAUCAAGAAGGUGGAUGCUCCUGUAGGAUCAAGGGCCAAUAGUGAUGUGGUUGUUGCUGUUGCUAUCACAGGCACAGGUGGGAUAGGCAAAACCACUCUUGCUAAGAUGGUCUUCGGUGAUAGUAGGGUGGAGGAAAACUUCAAGGAAAGGAUCUGGUUGAGCGUUAACCGUGAGUUCAAUGAGAUCAAUGUCCUACAAAGUCUUAUAGCUUCUUUUGGUGCCAAACAUGAAGGCUGUGCGGGAAACAAGGACCUACUUCAGCGUGCCCUGAAGGAUACAAUCCGGCAAAAGAAGAAGUUUUUGUUGGUGAUGGAUGAUGUGUGGAGCGAAAAUGUGUGGUAUAAGCUGCUUAGAGAGCCGCUCAAUCAUGGUGCUUCUGGCAGUCGAGUCUUGGUGACCACAAGAAAUGAUGGAGUUGCUCAUGGGAUGAAAGCUCAACAUCUCCAUCGAGUUGACAAGCUAACAACGGAAGAUGCUUGGAUUUUGCUAAAGAACCAGGUCAGUAAUAACUUUUAUUUAUUACAGUAAUUAUUUAUGCAGUAAUUUGAAUUUACAGUAACAACUUUUAUCUCUUCUUAAUUACUUUCUCUCCCUUGGAGUAAUGCACGAUAGCCCAUUGCUCAAUAUUUCUCUUGUCGCUCUUUUCCGAUCUGAUUACGCAAAGGACCAUGUAAUUUCACUACGAGCCUUUUAUCAUACUUUCAAAGCUCUUCGCUUAGCAAAACAUGUCUCAUGGUUAUAUUUAGUUGAACAUAUCCUAUUGACGUUGAGGGAUGUUUUGUUUAGGGCAACGAAUCGGGUAUCGUAGCCUAAGAGGGGGAGGGGGUGAUUUAGGCAACUUAAAAUCUUAACCUAUGGCUUCUGCUACUUUUGCAUCAAACAUAAACAAGAUCAUGCUGUCAAGAUGUGCAAUUAUGGUUGAUCUAGUGUGAACUCUUCAUCCUAAAAUAAGUUUUGCAACCUAGAGGCAUCCUAGCAAGAUACUACACUAAGAAAGUAAAGGCACACAAGUUGUAAGUAUGAAAUGCGGAAAUGUAAAGGAGGGGAUGAGGGGAAGCAAACUCUUGACACAAGAGUAUUGCUUUCCGGUCACCAAGUCUCUCCCUGGACACUCCUUGAUUUGCCACAAAGGCUCGGCUACUAAGGCUCACGCCAAAUUCACAGGCUACCUUGAUACCAUCUCCACAAAGGAGCUUCUCCACGAAAGAAGGGGGUCUCCACGUUCCCUGCACAUUGUCGUCGACGCCGCUCCACACCAAGCCGGAGGGUCAAAGACUUACCGGCGAACCACCAAGGCUCCAAGGUUUCAGCACACCUUGUACAGCUGUGGUUCACUCCUAGAAUCGAUCACAAGGCAAGCACACCUUGCAUUCUCUCUUCUCUAGGCCUAUCCUAGCACUAAACAUUCUUCUAAGCUUGCGCUAAACCUUUGAUUAAUCACUUAUGCACUUUUGGUGGUUUGGAUGUGUUCUUGACGAGUCUUGAUCUCCAAUGGAAUUCUGCACACUCCAGCUUCAUCCAACAACUCCAAAUGGGUGAGUGGCGGGGGGUAUAAAUAGCCCAAGAACUCAAAGAGCCGUUGCUCCAACGGCUAGUUAAAGUAUACCAUCGGAUGUUCCGAUGGUAUCAUUUGGGGUAGCAUCGGAACAUCCGGUUCUACCAGCCAUUGCCUCCCCGCGCUCAGAUUCUGCUCAAGUUCCUCACUGACGUAAUCCAUCGAUUGAUCCAGUGGUCCCUCUAGCACCCAUCGGAUCAUCCGGUGCAGUAGCUUCCUAUGCCAAAACGUCUUUGUUAGUUUCUAAAAUAAAUAUGCUUCGUCCGAUGCCCCUGCGACACAUAGCGUCGGAUCAUCCAGUGCCUCCUUCUUUCUUCUCUUUGCUCCGGCGAUUCAUCCGAUGGGUACAAAACUUAGGCCAUCGGAUCAUCUGAUGGUCCUGCUUUGACUUGGUCUCCACAUGGCGAACCAAAAGCUCUGAUGCUUGCACCGACACUUUUUCAACUGGCCAUCAAAGCAUCCGAUGGUCUCAAAAAUCUUCUUCACGCUUGUCACCAACUGAUUCGGUGGGCACCUUCUUCUUGUCACCGGAUGAAUCAGUGGCUAUAACAAUUCUUGUUUUUCUUUGAUUUCUUUGAUUCUUUGCUUGUCUUUGGUUGUGGUUGCUUCCUUAGGACCUAUAAUACCUUCAAGAUAUGUUCUCAAUGCUUUGUUAGUCCUAAUGACCAUGUUGUCACAUUAAUCACCGAAAUCACAAACAAAUGGCCUAUUCGGAGCCAUGUUUGCUACAUUUAGGCUAUCCCCAAUGAGGAUUUCAUAAGAGUUUCUUUUAAUGAUGUGACACAUCAACAAUUUUGAUGAUAUGACAUGCUAAUAAUCAUGAAGAGAGAGAGGGAAGGAGUUUCAUCCUGAUUAAACUGUGUAUACAUUGUUUCCAAGACUAUGAAACCUGAUGAAACUAGCAUUAGGGAUUAGAUAGUUUUAUUUCAUCUCAUAACAUCCAAUCACAUACCUCGCAAUUAAACGUUAUGUCCAGCCUAUAAAAUCGUGAAAUGAAACUCUCCAUUGGGAGAUCUUGUGUCAUACAUCCACUCAAACAUCUUUUGAUGACAUACCACUCCUGAAAACCGUAAUAUGAAAUUCCCCACUGGGAAUAGCUAUGGUUGCUCUAGAGUCUAGACUCUAUUGAAGUCACUUCAACUUUUUCCCAACACACAACCCCUGCACAAGUUAUGAUACAACAUAAAAUCCAUUGGGAGCUUUUCGAUUCUAACACCAUUUCCUCUCUCAAACUUGCUGCAUUUUUUCCAAUACUAGGUAGUUUUGAAUGAGAGUGAUGAUGUCGAUGAAUUGAAGAGUAUCGGGAUGGAAAUUGUUAAAAGAUGUGACUGCUUGCCAUUAGCAGUUAAGGUCCUUGGAGGACUCUUGCGCCGCAAAAGUAGAACAAGAGAUGCCUGGACGGAUGUUAGUAGCCACGGCACUUGGUCGACAAUAGGAAUCCAUGAAGAUAUUAAUAAAGCGGUCUAUUUGAGUUAUGAAGACUUGCCUUCACACUUGAAGCAAUGUUUUGUGUAUUGUUCGCUAAUCCCUCAAGAUUACUUGAUUUCAAGUCGAGUAAUAGUCCAGAUUUGGAUUGCAGCAGGUCAUGUACACAACAAGAUGAGCUGUAAGGCACCAGAAACGUUGGGGGAAGAAUACUACAAAGAAUUGGUUUCAAGAAAUCUUCUAGAACCAGAGAAAGGUUACUAUAGAAUAUCAGCAUGGAACAUGCACGACGUUGUCCGUUCCUUCGCUCAGUAUAUAAUUAAAGAUGAAGGGAUACUUAUUAGUGAUGGGCAGGAUGUCAAUAGAACUCUUAGCACUGCAAAGCUUCGGCACCUAUCUAUCUCAAACAAGGCAGUAAGGCAUGACACUUUGCAAACACAAGCCUUGCUUAGAACAUUAAUGUUAUUCGAAGGCAGCACCACUGUUGAGCUAAAGGAUAUGUUGAACAACCUUUCUUGCCUAAGAGUACUACAUCUGAUAGAUGUAGAUCUAGUUGAGCUGCCAGACUCCAUAUGCCACCUCAAACAUUUAAGAUCCUUGUAUCUUUCUGGCACAAGCAUAUCCACAAUUCCUCAAGGCAUAGGAGAUCUAAAAUUUCUACAAUCUAUUGACCUUGAUGGGUGUGCAAAUAUUCAUCAACUUCCUAACAGCAUCCUAAAGCUGCGGAAGCUAAGGUCACUCACCUUGAGCGACACGGCAAUCACUUCAGUUCCUCGUGGCUUGGGAAAACUAGAAGAUUUGGUCGACAUAAGGGGGUUUCCAACACAU